Molecule: long non-coding RNA, 45146 nt
Filed under: Malus domestica (apple)
Lineage: Eukaryota; Viridiplantae; Streptophyta; Magnoliopsida; Rosales; Rosaceae
Description: long non-coding RNA (MDOM_LNC010380)
Source: RNAcentral
UUUUUUUUUUUUUUUUUUUUUUUUUUUUUUUUUGGUAAAUACAUAAAAUUGUAUCUUUUCUUUUUUUUUUUCUCUUCUUUUUUUUGUACAAAGAAAUUGUAAUCAUCAAAACUUUUAUAAAAAUCUUUAUCCUUAUUUUGGUUUGACUGAACUCAAAUUUUGAAUAUUCGAGCGCUGCCUACGUACCCUCCAAAAGAAGAGAUCAAGUCGUAACGUAGUUCAAUACAUACAUAUAUAUAAUAUAUAUAUAUAUAUUUUUUUUGGGGUAUUUUCUUUUGGUGCCGUUUGGAAGUUUCAGCUCGUGUGCAGACCGGGAGCGUUGUGCCAUGCAGUUAGGCUCGUGCAGGCGAUGAGCUUUGGUUCGUGCAGUUUAGGCUCGCGAACAAAGGAGCAGGAAUUUGUUGUGCCCCGCAAAAAUUUCAGGGGAUAGAAAAUCAGUAAGCAUCUUCAAGAAUCUAGCCGUUGAUAGGCCAUCACGGUAUGUUGAUUGACCCAUACGUUGUACUUGCUCCCACUUCGUGAUCUGUCUUGUUAAUGUUGAUGAAAAGGCCAAGGUGUUUCUCUUUUGAAAAGCCAAGGGAGAACUUUCUUGUUAAGCUUUAGAAAGUCGCGCUUGAUAACACUCCAGGUUUUGGGCUUCGAGUCUCUUCUCAUCCAGUGCCUCCAGUUCUUGAAGACGCAACUUUGCAUUCUCUUCGUCAGUCAAGCCUUCUUGUAUAGGUUUUGCGAGGGGAUCCUUAGAAGGGGAUUUCUUUCGAAGUGGUAGAACAGCUUCUACGCCAUAUACAAGAGAAUAAGGUGUGGCUCGGGUAGGCGUUCUAUAUGUUGUCCUGUAUGCCCAUAGGGCUUCGCCUUUUUUAUUCAUUUAUUCUUUCUUUGUUCUAACCGAUUACUACUUCGAUUAAAUUUCAGGAGGUUGCCAAUGUCUUGUUGAAUGUUUGCUUCUGCAAGACGUUGGCCGGAGCAUGUAGACAUGGAGGAUUUGGCGGUUUGUUUGCUUUUAAACUCGCAGAGCUCGUCCAUGAGUCGAUUGAGAAGACCUGCUUUCCGUUGUCGGUCAAUGUAGCGAGGCACCCCAUAUCGAUGGAUGAUAUGCCCUUGAUGAAACAGACACGACAGUUUCCUUCUGAACUUCCUUCAGGGGUAUGGCCUCAGCCCACUUAGAGAAGUAAUCUGUUGCAGCCAGGAUGUAAGCCUCUCCUGUAGAUGACUUUGGCGGCAAUUGGUCCCACGACAUCCAAUCCCCAUGCAUCGAAUGGCCAUGAAGUAGCUGUGGGGUGUGGUUCAGGUUGGUUGCGGUUGAUGUAUGAAGUUGGCGUGAAAUUGGCAGGCUUGCACCUCUUGGCGUAUUCCAGGCAGUCCUUUACCAUUCUUGGCCAGUAAUAACCAUUCUUUUGAGCUGGAAAUGAAGCUUUGGUCCGGACUAGUGUGCUCCACAUAUUCCUAGUGUCUUCUUCCAUGGCUUGAUUGGCUUCUUCCUCGCCUAGGCAUCUCAGAAAGUACUCCUUCAAAAAGAUCGCCGGUAGAGUGUCCUUUGUAAUAGAGGAAUCGAUGUGCUCGUCGAGACUUGUUCAGAGCGGCGUAUUCGGAUCAUCUAGAAGCAUUCUAUGCUCCAAGUAGUUUCACAGUAGGCUGUCUCCAUUCUUCAACGUUGACCGAAAGUAUUGAAAUAACGUUUGUAUCACUUAAUACUAUUUCGUGACAAGCGGGAUUACCAUCUUUGGCAGACUGGCACGUUUGUAGCUUCGUCUUCUCCCUAAUUCAUCAUGCUCGAGGCAAAAUAAGUUGGUCGGAAGAGCGUGGGGCAUUCAUGAUUUCACUUUUCUGGGCACGUGCUCUAGUGUUACGGGCCAAACCUUUUGGUGAGCAAUUCGAUUGCAGGCCGGAAGUAGUUGUUUUGUGGUCAUCCCUUAGCUGUCUCACUCAUAUUCAGUCCAGGAGUUGAUUGAUUAUGAGCUUGGGUGCCGCCACCGUAUUCUCAAUGGGCUGCGAAAUUCCGCAUGUUGAUUGCCAUUUGGAGCCCGAGGCUCAAGUGCUUGGUACUCAGCAACGUUGUUUAAUUCGCUUAAUUCGCUUAGGGUCUUUAAUGAAAAGGUGGUAGUACUUGCUUUGUGGCGACAUGAAUCUACUCCUGCCCCUGCUCCGUCUGUUGCAGCGAUCCAUCGAAGAACAUCGUCCACGUCGGGAAUUCUAUCGAUGCCGUCAUUUUUUCAAGCCUCAUCAACCUCAUUCGCAACUCAACUUUGCGCAAAUGACAAUUUGUCCAAUUUUGGUGAGGAUUUUUCUUUCAAUCACGGUUAGUUGCCGGACAAGUGAAAGUACUUACGGGUCAGACCUCCUAAAACUGUCCUUCACCUUAAGUCAGCUUUAUCUCCAAAGAUCUUUCUCAAACGACAGCCCCUCAAGAAGUGUUCUAGUGAUGCAAAAGUGUAGAGCAAGAGUGAUUUCCUUUGAGACAGGAUAAAGAAAACAGCCGGACUGAAGCUUUGGACCUUUGAUUGUAAGCACCCUCGUGUACAGCUAGAAGCUGGCCCACACAGCAUGAGACUUUACAGUGACCGAUGACUCGAGCUAUUUGAAGCAAGCCAUGCGUCCACUCGAAGAUGCCGCAUGCUUGUGUAAAAUGCCUGAAGCUGCAAGUGGAUUCUUAAAAUCAAGGCUCUGGACGGUUUGACCCUCAAUUCUUUCGACUUGCUAAGCCGGGGAUCAAGUAAGUCAAUCAAGAUCCAUUUCGCGUCGUUUCAGCCUGCUUCCGAUCAGUGAAGGUGAAGCGCCAAAUUCGUCUCGACGGCCCUUCACAAGUCAACUACAGCUAGUUCCCCUUCUAGGAAGAUCCUGUGGACUUGUCGGUUCACCCACUAUCUUUGCCCUCCAAUUUCGAAAGUUGCCACCACAUCUUUCCUGAGCAGGAACAAUACAUCUUUUCUUAGACAGGUGCUUUGAUGCGGUUGCUUUUUGUAUGAAGGCUUGCACGUCCUAGCGCUUGUCCUUUGACGGCUUUAGCUGGGACGUAGAUGAUCUCGUAUUGAUUGAGAAGUAAUGCCCAUUUAGCUAGUCGCCCUGUCAAAACUGGCUUAGACAUGACGUAUUUGACCGGGUCAGCUUUAGCAACCCAAGUGGAUGGUGUAAGCAUGCAUGUGUAAUGUCUGAGCUUCUGGAUGGCAAACAUCAAGGCCAGGCACAUUUUUUCUAUUGGGGAGUAGUUCAAUUCAGCGCCGGUAAGCGUUCGACUGAGGUAGUAGAGCGCUCCUUCUUUCUGGGCCUCGUUUUCCUGUGCCAAGAGUGCUCCAACUGAACUUUCCUGAGCAGCAAUGUACAAUAUGAGCGGUUUCCCUGGUACAGGUGCCCCCAGGACAGGUGGACUUGAUAAAUACUUCUUUAUGCUUUCGAAAGCAUUGUUGCAUGCUUCGUCCCAUACGAACAGGACAUCUUUCUUCAUGAGUCGACUGAACGGUUGACAACGCCCUGCAAGGUUGAAGAUGAAGCGUCUGAUGAAGGCUAGCCGACCUUGUAGACUUUUCAACUCGUGCAGGUUUCUUGGUUCGGGCAUGCUUUGAAUGGCCUUGAUCUUUGAUUGGUCCACUUCAAUGCCACGAUGCUUGACAAUGAAGCCAAGGAACUUUCCAGAUGUGACGCCAAAUGCACACUUUAACGGGUUCAUCUUGAGGUUGUAUUUUCGCAACCUUUCGAACACUACUCGCAAAUCCUUCAAGUGAUUUGAUCUUUUCUUUGUCUUGACCACCACAUCGUCUACAUAACAUUCUACAUUCUUAUGUAGCAUGUCACUGAAGAUCUUCUGCAUUGCGCGUUGAUAUGUAGCUCCAGCAUUCUUCAGACCAAAGGGCAUCACCUUGUAGCAGUAAAUACCUUUUGGAGUGCGGAAGGCUGUUAGUUCCUCAUCUUCAAGAGCCAUACGAAUUUGAUUGUAUCCAGAAGAGCCGUCCAUGAAUGAUAGUGCCUCAUGGCCAGUGGUUGCGUCCACCAUGAUUUCAAUGAUUGGCAAGGGGAAGUCGUCCUUUGGGCAAGCAUUAUUGAGGUCUCGAAAGUCCACGCAAACACGUAUUUGUCCAGAUUUCUUACGGACUAUGACGAUGUUGGAGAUCCACUUGGGGUAUUGCACCUCUCGAAUGAAGCCUGCUUCGAUCAACUUGUCAAUCUCGGCCUCGAUUUGUGGGAUGAGCUCGGAUCGAUAGCGUCUUUGAGUUUGCUUUAUUGGUCGCGUUCCAGGCUUGACUGCAAGAUGAUGCACAGUAAUGAUAGGGUCGAGGCCGGGCAUUUCCUUGUAGGUCCAAGCAAAGACGUCCUUGAACUCUAAUAGCAGCUGGUAAUACUUCUCUAUCUCGUCUGCACUUAGUAAUGCGCUCACGAAGAUAGGUUUCGGUUCCUCACUUGUGCCUAAGUUGAGUUCUUUGAGAUCGUCAACUGUGGCUUGCCCCCCAUCUUCGAGUUGUGACGGUGCUGCAAUGACAUCUUCUUCGAGGCUUUCAUCUUCUUCACCUUCUUGGAUUGUGAUGUGGAAGACGUCUUGGGCUUCUUCUUCGGUGUUAACCUCUCGAGCUAGUUGGCAUGAAGAUUGUCCAGUGUGAAUGAUGGUGCGCCUUUUCACUUUCAGUGAUCCAACUGUGUUAACCUCCAAUAUUGCUUGGCGCUUCAUUCUUGAAGGAAUGGAACUUCGAACGUCAUCCUUUUCUGCCAGGCGAUCGAUCUCUUCUACUUCUGGUGUCGUCUUUCUCCUUUUGGAAUGCUCUUUGGCUUCUCCAAGUCUUUCCAUAACUGACUGUCGUGGAGGAAAGCUAGUCGUAUUGCUUUGCUUUUUAGGUUUUGAUAACCUUUUGAAAACAGAGCCUCGAGAUACUGACGUGUUAAGCCUUUUGAAGACGGAAGUUUUGUUUUGACCGCUAAUGAGUUUAGGUGCUGAAACUCUGGGCUUUGAACAAUUCAUUCUAUCGAAUACUGAUGUCCGGGGGGCAGGUUGAGGCUCCUCUUUAUCUUGUAUAAUGCGUACGCUGAUGUGUUGAGCGCUAGCAUUUUUUGCCUUGCUGGAGAUCUUCACCGAUGCAUUUGGUGUGAAGCCAAGCCCAGCUUUGUUGUUGCUAACCCCGUAACCAUGCUUCUCUAACCUCUUCUGAGUUUUAGUGAGAUCACGUUCGUUGUCUUUGACGGUGUUCAAAUCAUUCUUUCCCAAAUUUGCAGAGGAGGUGAAGUUAUACCCAGCUUUCGACAUAAGUUUGUAGGCGUUUGGAUCAAAACCUUCUUCGGUCCUUUUGGUUGGGAGAAAGCUUGGUUCUACCCCCUUUGGCAGGCCUUUUAUGAAGCCUUGUGAUGGUUUUGCAACCUUAGUGUCACCUAGCUGGGUCAGAGGCAAAACUGCAUUCGUUUUGAGCAACUUUACAUUAUCUAUGUGCCGCUGUGCAUCGGCUUUGCUCGCUGCAGUUUCGAACGGGGAUUGACCAUUCUUUCUUCUCGACAUCGGGAUGUACCGGAAGACGGGUACGCUUGGUCCGUUUGGGGUCGUCCUACUUCCUCUGGUUGUUGCAGGUUUAGAAAGCUCAUCGUCGUUUUUGCUUGAAGAUGGCAUAGCUUCUUCUUCUUGCUUCUUGGGUAUAGCUUGCCACUCCUGUUUUUUAGACGCUGCUUUGGUCAUGGAUUUAAUCUCUUUUGGAAGAGUUUCGGGCACCGUGUCUUCAUUCAUGUAGAACUUGGCGUCUGCGAAAUGUGAUUCGGCUUCGGUGAAUGGCUUGGUGUCGCCAUAGAUCACCUUCACUCGUUCUUGGUAAAAUUUUAAACAUUGGUGAAGGGUGGACGGUACCACUCCGUUCGCAUGGAUCCAAGGCCUUCCUAAGAGCAGACCGUAGGAAGUUCUUGCAUCAAUCACGUGGAACAUCACGCUUGACUUGAGUUCACCAAUGGUCAUCUCCACUCGGAUCAUGCCCAUCGCUCUUUGUCCUCAUUGGUUAAAACCUUGGAUUAGUAGACGGCUUAGGGAUAGUUCAUCCACCUUGAUGCCGAUUGCGGUCAUUGUUGACUUUGGCAUGAUAUUUAUGGCUGACCCGCCGUCCACAAGCAUGCGGCUGACUUUAUGCUCCCUUACGUACCCAGAGACGAAGAGAGGUCGGUUGUGAGGCUUGGAUCCUAGCAACAAGUCUUCGUCGGUGAAAUGGAUUGUGUCCUCGGUGGCACAGCAUGUGGCACACUCGUGUGGCCGAGGUCGGUUGUGAGGUUUGGACUCGCUAAAACCGUUGCCAAUGCCCUUCGUAUCUUCUUUGGAAAUUGUAGCGCUUCCUCGAUGCUAAAGUGUAUUGGCAGACCUUCUUCAGGUGUAGGAGUAUUUUCUCCCUCAGCGGCGACAAUUUUGCCCUUUGAGGGUUCUUCCGUUUCUACUUCGACCACGUGACAUGCGGUGAUAGUGCAAUGUUGGAAAAAGUCCUCCGGGAAGUAUUCGUGCAAUGAGACGGGAAUGCGUGGCUUUUGCUCCUCAGGUUCCCCAGCAUAUAUUGGCUUGGCAGCUCCUAUGUUUCUCUUAGGCUUCCUAUUGCUGCGACAGCGGUGCUUUCUCCCUUGUUCCCCCUUUUGCUUUAUAGCUUGCGGUUUUAGUUUCCUCGUCCUCUUAUAGGUCACCAAUGUCCAUCCUCUGUCAUCGUCAGUAGGUGCGUCCUGGUUGCUUGCCCCCAGUGAUGGUGGUGCAGAAUGUGCAGUGUGGUUUGAGUAUUGCCGAGCAUGGUCAGGCAUUUCUUGAAGAAGCACGGGAUCAAAGGAUCCGAACACGACCGUAGUGGUGUGCGUCGCAGCUGUGUCUUCUAGGUCGAGCUCAAUCCGUCCUUGUUGUGCCAACUUCAUGAUGAGUUCUUUUAGGAUGAAACACUUGCCCACAUGAUGACCCACGAUACGAUGGUACUUGCAGUACUUGGGAUCAUUGAUGCGAUUCAUUUCUUCAGGGCGUUUGCAUUCGGGUAACUCAAUCACCUUCUUCUCCAGUAAGUCGUCCAGCAUUGCGUCCAUGUCGGAGUCCGGAAAAGGGUAUACCUUCUGCUCCAAUUCCCUCAAGGUGUUUUUGUACCUAUCUUGGGUGUGGGAAGGCUAACCUUUUUUUAUCUCCCUUGCUUUAUUGAAAGAGAUUUUGACGAGCGCGGACGAGGUCUUGAUAGGGGUGGUAUUGGUGGUAAAAGCUUCCUUGGCGGGCUUUUUCCCAUGAUUGUCUGCUCUUGAAGUGAACACCUUAUCCCUUUUGAAAUCGGUGAUUGGCUCCUUCUUUCCAUGGUGAGCGAUGCUCAACUCCAUGUCGUGGGCACGGGUGGCUAAUUCUUCAAAAGUUCGUGGUUUGAUACCUUGAAGGAUGUAUUAUAAAACCCCUUGCAUGCCCUGGAUGCACAUCUCGAUUGAAGAAAUCUCGAAGAGUCUGUCCUUACAGUCGAGGCUUAGAUUACGCCAUCGGUUGAUGUAGUCCAUGACUGGCUUGUCCUUCCACUGCUUUGUGCUUGUUAGCUCUAGCAUGCUCACAGUGCGGCGGGUGCUGUAGAAGCGAUUGAGGAAUUCCCGCUCCAAUUGCUCCCAAUUGUUGAUGAACUCAGGUUCCAGAUCCGUGUACCACUCAAAGGCGUUUCCUUUCAGCGAGCGCACAAACUGCUUGGCGAGGUAGUCCCCUUCGGUUCCUGCGUUGUUGCAAGUUUCAACGAAGUGGGCAACGUGCUGUUUCGGGUUUCCCUUUCCAUCAAAUUGCAUGAACUUUGGUGGUUGAUAACCCCUCGGCAUCCUUAAGGCGUCGAUCUUCUUUGAAUACGGCUUUGAGUACAACCCGGAGGUAUAUGAGCUCCCUUCGUACUGUGCCUUGAUGGUGUUUGGUGAUCAUCUCUUGCAGCUGCUGGAUAGAAAGAGAUCCCAUGAGUGCCGCUGCUUGGUCUGGUUUCGGCUUCCCAUUGAUUUUCUUCACCGGGGGUUCUUCGUCUCCGCCAGCUCCUCCCUUUAGUGGAUCAUCCUCUGGGUCGGGUUUCUCGCUGUCCUGCGCCUCCAGUCGGUUGACUAAUGCCGCGAUUUGCGAGUCUUUUUCUUCCACAGUUCGAGUUAGUCUUGCGAUUGCUUCAUUCAUUUGAGCAAGCUGUUCCUCGACUGAAGUUGCUCCAACGGUCAUGACUUGCAUGGCUGAACUGCCGCUUGAAUCGUCAUCGGAGAGCAUGGAUUCGGAGUAUUCCCUUGGUCUUUCCCCCCUUGGUGCCCUUAGUGAGGCUAAGGUGAUCACAGGCUCGCGCCUGGGGUACUCUCGUUCCCCUGGCAGAGUUGAUGCAGAGGUGAAAGAGGUGGCAGAAGUAGCUUUUGCUUUGCUUCGAGUCGUGAUACCCAACGUGACACCACUUGCGACGAUGGCGCCUUUGUUCUUUGCGCCGGUUAUGGGAACAGCUUGAGCCUUCCUUGACGUCAUUGAUUUUGGAAGUGUGCUUAUAUUCCUUGAACGGAGGAAGAGAUGAGAUGUAGAGAUAUCCCACCGGGCGUGCCAAUUUGUGAACACGGAAAAUUCCUGAAACGAAAGAGACAAGAACGACGUGCACAAACAAAUAUUUGUAUUUUGAUGAUUUUGGGUUACAAUCUCUCUCGAAUUUGAUCCUCUGAUUCGAUCUCCGUAAGGUGUUGAUUUAUGGGUGUUUCGUUGGUCGAAGGGCCGUCGAGGCUUGAUCUUGGAUGAACAGUUGGAAGUUUCUUCAAAUGGCCGUGGGCUUGAUCUUUGAAGGUGGAUUUGAGUGGAUCUUCAAGGAGCCGUUGGGGCUUGAUCUUGAGGAUGAAUGUUUCCUUCAAUUUCCUAUGUUUUCUUAUGAAAGUGACCAUAGGCAUGCCUGAUCGGAAAUCCACUAAGGCAUGAUUUUGAUGUAACCAAUCCUCGCUAAGAUCACAUUAAAGCCCACAAUAUCCAACAUAAUGAGAUUAACUGACAUCAUUUGAUUGGCAAUGAGAACGGAGCAUCCUCUAUUUCCCACUAGACGUAACAAACUUCGCCUCAUGGCAUUGUGAUUCCCAUGUUGCACCCAAUAGGGGUACCUUGUGGUUAAGUCAUUUGAGCAAACAAAAGUGAUAUGACAGUAGGUGACACUCGAAUUAAUCGAAACACUAGCAAAGUGAGCGACGAUGUUUAGCGUACUCAUAAUAAGUCGGGAUUGUUUUUGGCAUCCUAGUGGGUGAUAUGUUAACAUGGCCAUGGUUCAGCUCUCCUCUUGCACGAUAUGCUUUUCUAUUACCCUGAUUCUAAUUUCCUUGGCCCUGGUUGCCUUGGUUUGUCUGCCUGCCACCUUCCUUAUUGUUGGAUUUUUCUCCGACAUUAUAAUAUUGUCCAACUCAUACCAUUGUGCACCGCCAUCCUAGUACUGAAUAGCCUGGAUACUAGUUGACAACUCCCGAACACUGGGUAGCAUUGCCUUGAUAGUGGUUGGUACAUCAAUAUGCUAGUGUCGAUUUCGGUCAAUUUCCAUGAGUAAGUUUGGCUGAUAAAGGACUGUUCUUUGAGAUAAAUUUGUUGCUUAAGGGGCCACUAGUUAGACCGCAUGUGUAACAAAUUGUACUCCUUUGUCGUAGUGAUAAGUAUUGCAUCGGAAGAAAUUCUAAGUAUUGGUGUUGUUGGAACUUCCUUAAGGAUGAAAACUAUAAUUACCGAUGGAUUUAGCCCCAAAACAGGGUGUGUUGGAACUCGAACCUCCACUAGAAGAUCCAGGAUUGUAACUGCUUCAUUUGAACAAUUGACUAUGCCAGGAACCAAAGGAAGGCUACCCUUGGUGUUCUUCGCUUAAUGUUACCAUCUUCAUCACCAAUAUUGUCACUCAUGACAUUUUCCGAAUCCUUGAUGCGAAGUAAAGCAUCGUAGAAUUCCAAGUAUGUAGUACAUCUCGCAGAUGCCACAAGAGAACUGAGGGGUUUGUAAGUGACAUUUUUGAAAUCCUUGACACAAAGUAAAGCCUCGUAGAUUUCCUGGUCUUAUAUUCCGCUUGAAUAUACCAAUUUUCUCUUUCAUCUUUCGAGUUUGUUCCUUCUCAUACCUCCACCACGACCUUGCUAGUCCUUGGAAGAACCACACUACCGUCACAAUCUAUUUUGAUCAACCAGAAAGUUUUCCAACUUCUGCAUGGUGCAGAACGUCUUCUCCACAUGUUCGAACCAAGGCUCAACCAUUUCAAGUUUCUCACUUGAAGACAAGUGGCGAUUUCCAAUGAAUUCUUUUGAGAAGGGCGAAAAGCCUUCUCGAUAACGUUGUGAUAAUUGUUUUGAAUUGCCGAAAAUCAAGAAAAGAUGGUGUGGUUCGUGCUCGACAAGGUGGCAUAGUUUUGACAUUAGAGAUCAAGAACGACUAGCGCUUAACAUCAUGUGUGUGAUUAGUGUAGGACUACCUAAACAUGUGCUCACCCUGACCUAGAAUGUCCAUGUGGAUAUUAGAAUCAAGACAUGCUAGCAGAAACCUGAAAGGUGACGAAGUCAUAAAGCGAAGGUUUUGUGGAGAACUAUGAAUAAAUUCAAAAAGUAAUUGAAAUGAGAUUCUGCAGUGUGCAUUUUAGAACCCUUAUUACAAAACAUAAUGUCAAAGCAAGCAUAAGUACGAAUGCAGCAUAAAGUAAAGAAUAUUUCUAUCCUAGAAGGAUGGACAUUUAUACAGAAAGGAAAUUUACUUCCUAUGUUGUCCAAUGUGUUAUUUAAUGAUUGCUUAUAAUCCUCAUUGCAACAAGAGCACCACCAAUAACACUUAGAGGGGUGUAAAAACAGAAACAUGAGCAGGCCCAAGAAUAAAGUAAGCACAUAAGUUUAUUAAGGGACAUUUGUGGGCCCCAACGAUGGGAAAGACAAAUAAAGAAAGAGUGUAGAGAUGAGAAAUUGACGAGUAAACUAGAGAGUGAGAUACUCUAGAAAAGAGAGAGAAACUAAGUGGGUUGUAUGUGUGUGUGUUUGGGCUAUAAAGUAAAUUAUUUAGCCACCUAGCAUAAUUAGGAAUAGUAAAAGUAUAUGGGCCAACAUGCCCACUUAUUUAACAAGUCCAGCUAGCAAACCAAUAGUACCAUAAUGUGCAGCCUGCAAUAUUGACAUGAGUACAAAGACAAAGUUUAAAAAAUGCACGAACAUUCCAGCAGGGGUAGCCACUUGGAACCGAAAACCGAAACCGAAACACGAAUCAAAUCGAACCGCACCGAAUGGUUUGGUUUUGCGAUUUUGAAACGGUUUCGGUUUCGAAACUGAAUCGCGGCAAAGAAAACGGUUUGGUUUCAGUUUUAGGUUUUUAAAACCGCACCAAAACCGAAACCGCAUCAUAUAAUAAAAUUAAUAAAUAAAUGUUAUAUUUUAAACUUUUAAUUAGUUCAACUAGGUUACUAGACUAUCAUUAUCAUCUAGUGUUGAAUCUUUAAUAUGGAACGAGAUGAAACAUGUUCUUUGAUCUUUUUUUUGUCGGUUAGGGAACCCUUAUAGACAAGCUGUUACAUUUUCUAAAUAUGUGUUUAUUGGGUUGGGAAUCAUACAAGUUUCAUCAUGGAGACUACACUAACUCAAACAAAUAUUUAUUGGAUAUGUGAUUCAAAUAAGCAACUCACUUUGAGCCUAAAUAAACAAAUAUUUACUGGAUAUGUUUAUUACUGGAUAUGUUUAUUUCUGUUUUAAUUAUAAAUAUGUAUAGGAUAUAUAACAAAUUUACUUAAAUCCGCUUGACUCUGCCUAGCCACCUAGGCGGUAGACCACAGCCGCCGCCCAACUAGGACCUAACGUCUUUUAGAACCUUGCAUGUCAUAUAAGGAAAAAAGAAGAUACAACAUGACAAUCACAAUAGAAUUACAUACAUCAUCCUAAGGUAUACUAUUUAGUUCAACAAUGAUAAUAGACAUUUCGACAAUUUGAUGCUGUUGUGUAUAGUACCAUAACAGCAUUAAGUUCUGAGUCCUAACAUAGUUUGGCAAAAGAAAGAAAAAUAUUCAAAGGACCUAGAACACGUAGGAAAUUACUGUAUAUCCAUAUAAAAGUUAAUUGUCUACACGUAUGUACGGUUCAAAGAUACCUAACAUGUGCGGCGGAAGUAUAUAUUCACAAAUAAGUUAUAAGAUAACCAAUUUAAAAGCGGAUAAUGGUGUUCAGGUUUAAAAAGUUGAGCAUACAUUCUAUAGUUUCUUUAUUCUGAAUCAUAUCUGAAUCAGCAAUGCUCUUUCCAAACGUAGACAGACUAUCCUCCACUGGAAGACGAUGGCAAAAGCAUCGUAUCCACAGGGCUCUGGUAGUUCAGAGGGGAGAUUCCACCUGCAUUUAAACGAGCAAUUUUCCAAGCAAAUCAAAUCUUAAGCAGAUGAGACUACAGAAGAAACUCUAAUAAAUAGGUAAACAAAGAUGGCAAGAGUAAUGAACUCAAAUAUACAGAGUAAAAUGCCAAUAAACAAAACUAUGAAAUCUUCACUCUUCAGUAAGGGACGGCACAGACAGCUGAGAAUUUUGCAACAAGUUCUUUCGUUCAUUUUUUACCAUUCCCGGUUGCUUGAUUAAGUUUGCAAUCAACUAAAGUCUAAAUCAUGGCAUGACAAUCAAUUCAACUUCCUGCUCACUAACUUACACAUAUAUUCUCCCCACACAUCCUUUGAAUCCUGCACUGCAUUUCAAACUCUUGAUGUUUGCUGCUUUCCACAACAAUGCAGGCAACUUAGCCUUCAGACGUGAAAUUGUUAUAUUAUGAUUCCACAACAUAACACUUUCCGAAACCUCCAUUAACAUUUUUAAUCGCAUGCCUUCAACUCCUAUAGAUGACACGCCCACUAGAUAGGUAGAUAGACAAACAAACCAAACAGAAAGGCAAGCACUUCGCACCCUGAAGCUAUAUACCAGUUGACCAUAGUAAUGAGAGACUCCAGGAAUAGCCAAUUGUCCCUUGACUAAUGACCCAAAAGGGCUAGCUUCAUCCCCACUACCUCAACCCCAUUCACCUCUCUUUUUACACUCUACUUUCCCCUUUGGGCCUGUUGCCCACCUCUUCAUCUUUUCUUUGCACCUCAGAUCACACGAAACCCUAACACACCCACAAAGAAGUGGCCAAGGAGCCCUGUAUCCAAGGCCAUUGUUGCCACACUCGAGGAGUUAUUACUGACCUUGAGGACCUUGUCCCUAAUGCUAUGUUUGGAUUAGAGACUUCAAAGUUACAUGGAACUUAGGUUUAAAUUGUUACAAAAUUAGAGAGCAGGACUUGAUAAUAAUUAGGUGCAAUUCAUUUGAGAGAACUAUGAAAUGACUCCUUGCAAGGUGUAUUUUUGUAAGUCCCAAUCUUGGUAUUUUUAUAGUUUUCUUUGCACCUCAGUUCACACGAAACCCUAACACACCCACAAAGAAGUGGCCAAGGAGCCCUGUAUCCAAGGCCAUUGUUGCCACACUCGAGGAGUUAUUACUGACCUUGAGGACCUUGUCCCUAAUGCUAUGUUUGGAUUAGAGACUUCAAAGUUACAUGGAACUUAGGUUUAAAUUGUUACAAAAUUAGAGAGCAGGACUUGAUAAUAAUUAGGUGCAAUUCAUUUGAGAGAACUAUGAAAUGACUCCUUGCAAGGUGUAUUUUUGUAAGUCCCAAUCUUAGUAUUUUUAUAGUGCAUUUAGGGUAUGUUUGGGUGAGGAACUUCCAAAUUCCAAUGACCUUAGACAAAGUGAUGAAGACAUGGAUCACAAAAAGUUAAAUAGGAGGGAUUAGAAAUGCAUCGACAUGAUCACUACAAAGGCAUGUGACAGGGAUUUGCAAAUGACUAAUGCUGAUGUGGUGCAUUUUUAACUCCUAUUUAAUUUUUUGUGAUCAAUUUCUUCCUCAUUCUGCCUAUAUCCCUUGGAACUUGGAAGUGCCUUGCCCGAUCAUACCCCUCAGGUGUUUUAUUAGUACCUAUGUGGUGCUCCAGUAGUUCAUUGGUGGAGCUCAUGAGUGCAUUUUUUAAGAAUUGAGACUAAAUCUUUUUGGCCCCUCCUCCAAACAAAGGGUGAGAGGACUUGAAUUUUGGGUCAAAUGCCACUCGCCCAUGGCUAUCCAGCUGAGGGUUUGGGAUAACAUGGUAUUUGAUUUCAUCAAUGGUAGUCCAUUUCCUGAUAUAAAUAUUGAGGAAGAAAGAUCAACUCAGAUACAUGUCCUGCAAAUUUCACGACACCCAGAAUCCAAAUAUGCAGCAGUGACUCAGACAAUUUUGAGUCCAUGAACAGGUAGGGCGAGAGUUUGUGCUUUCUAGAUAGAGAGGAGAUUGGGACCAGACUGAAAGAUAUGUCGCGGAUUUGGUGGUAGUGGAUUUUGGCAUUUCCUUUUCUAGAGUUACGAGGCACAAGAGUUAUAGAUUAGACUGAUAAGUGACGACCUGAUGAUACACAUUUUGACAGAAAAGAAUAGAUUGUGAAAGAGAAAAACAGAGUAAGGAGAAAAGCAAACACACAUAAAUGGUAAAGAUAUGUGACCAGUACGGAGCUGAGCUAAGUGAGUUGUGGAGCUGGUUUUUAUCAACCAUACUUUUGGAUGAACUGAUCAACAACAAAAGCAUGGUUUCAGUACAAAUACAAGGCCCAUAAGGAUUGUUGUUUGACUAAUUACGUUACUGAACCAGGCUACCUCAUAGAUCAAUACAACUAUUCAUAGUAGCUGCUGCAACCUUAUUCAAAGGCAUAUUACUAAUGUAGGAUAUCUAACUUAACAGCAGCCAUGUUUCAACUUUCAUACACAUAUGCACAUAUGCACAGCUACAUUAACAAUGAACAACCUCUGACCUUAAGACACAUAAAAUUCCUCAGCUCGAGAUGCAAACAAUAAAGUUCUACAUUCAGCUAAGAGAGCUUCCAGUGAAGAAUACUUGUUCCUACCAAGAUACUUGAAGAGAAAAUGCUCCUAUUUGCAGGAGCAUCAUUAAAGCAGCUACUGCCAAGGGAAACAGUACACACAAAAAGGCAAGUAUAGAAUAAGAUUUUAAAACUAGCUUUCACCUCCCUCAUGCAUAAAUCUUGAACUCCCACAGAAAUCCAUGCUUAUUCUUCCGCUCUACCAAAAUGUUAAAAUAUGAAGCCACAAUACAGAGAAAAGAAACCAAGACAACACACUAAUCAAAUACCAAUAUAUUUCAUCAAAAAGAGCAAUAAACACAUUAACCAACUUGAGAAAAAGAAACAAAGACAACAUACUAAUCAAAUACCAAUAUAUUUCAUCAAGAAUAGCAAUAAACACAUUAACCAACUUGAGGGGAAAAAAAAGAAAAAAAAAAAAGACAACACACUAAUCAAAUACCAAUAUAUUUCAUCAAGAAAGGCAAUAAAUACAUUAACCAACUUGAGAAAAAGACACAGGACUCAUGCAAAAAACAUGGAGACCCAAAAGACAAGAGAAAAGUAAACUAAAUAGAAAGAAAAAAAAAUUACAGGAAAAAUCCAAGUGGAUUCAGAGAAAAGGAAAAUACAAAAAUCACAUACUGAGUUCUAAAAUGCAUAAAAAAAUUCAAUACACAACUUACCUUAUAUAAGGAACUUCUUUGAGUUAAUGCAAUUGCUGAAAAAUGCCUAAUUUGAAGUAGAACCUGUAGCACAAGCAGCUGGUUUAUUGUGGUCAUUUAAAAAAAUUUCACCACCACUUUCAGAUAUCUGUCGAUUGUCUGAUCCAGAAACCGGACUGUCUAAACUAUUUGACACAGAAGCAUCAUUAACUCUGUUAUUGUCUUUUGUUUCCAGACGCUCCAUCAUGCGUGAUACAGUUUCAAACCCUGCAUUAACCUCUCUUUUAACUUCCGAACCAAGAUCUGCCAUGGAAGUAUUGCGAGAGAACAAUCUCUCCUUCCAACCUUUUGUGCUUUUUGAUAUUGACUCUUUGUAUCUAAUUGAAAAUGAGAACGUGUGAUGUUUAUGCAACGAGAAAAUAGGAAAAUAAAACUCAUUCAGAAAUGGUAGAAUAAAUUACAAAGGUUAAAGCAUAUUUAUACCUCGUUGAUACUGCACUAAAUCGAGCUUUCAGAGAGUCUGAAAAUGAUUGCAUGUCUGAUGGGCCAGCUCUAUCUUGGGUACUUGGGGAUGACUGGCUAGGUGACCUCCUAAAGGAAAAUGAUAAUAAGAUAGUAAUAAAUCAACAACGGAGAGAAAAAAAAGAAAAAAAGAUGUGAAUUUGCGCACCAACAUAUAUCUAAUCAAGCUGAAGAAUCUAGUACCUAUUGCUCAUGGAAGAUCCUUGUUGAUUUGGAGAAGAAACACUAGAUCCAGACACUGAGGCAGCCAUAGGACCAGAUUGUGAUGAAUGUACAGGAGUGGCCAUUUGAGACGAUUCUUCCCCUAUAUUUGUAGGAGGCGAAGGGAAAGUUACUGCAACUGAAGGAGCCGGUUCACCUUCUUCCAUCUGAUCAGGGGAAGAUGAAACAGGAGCCGGAGGUGUGUUAGGAUGGGUAGAGAAGACCAGGUAUUGCGGGCGACCUUGAGCUGAUGACCUAUUUCUUUGUCCUUCCCUUCUGGCAAUGUGGCGUGAACGACCCAUUGCAGCAGCAGCAGCUAAGUGCUGAAUUAUACGCUCUUCAAGUUCAGCAUCAUUUACACCCAUAGGUAACUACAUCAGGAGCAAAAUUGAAAAACUUUUAAUAAGAAUCUUCAGUUUUGGUGGGUUUAUACUACAUUUAACUUAAUAACGUUAAAGAGCAAAGAUAGAAUACAAACAUGCUGCAAUUCAAAAUCACCAAGAGUUGGAUGAUGAAAUAUUGUGGUAUUUCGAGGUGGAUUAGACCUAAUACUUCUCUCUUGCACUACUGCCUCUAGCAGUUCUUGGCUGUAAAUACACAAAAUGAAGCUCUUAUCAUUUUGUAAUACUUGUAUGAGAGAUGAAUCAAAGGAAUACCAGGACCAAGAAAAAAACUACUAACCCAGUGGGAUCCUUCAAGCUGAUGGGUUGCCAACACAUAGGACAUUGGGAGCUUCGCUGACACCUACAAGAUUGAAACAAAAUUUCAAUUUUUGAGAACUUUCAAAAUUCAUAGAUGUAUCUUUUUAAAAUAAGGCUCCGCUCAACAUAAAAUCACUGUUGCAAAAUCUUUCAUAGACCGUUUUGACUGCUAAGGUAAUUGCAAUCGCUCCUUGCCCAUUUGAUACGUGGUGUCCUUUAAAUUUUUUGUUUAAUAUUAAUUUAACUCACAUAUUUAAGAACCAUGUUUUCCCUACUUAACUCACUUGCCUUCCACUGGUUUCUCCGACCCAACCCGACAGUCCCAACCAUUUGCUGCACCUUCCAACCUAGUCACUGCCCCUCCUCCAAUUAGUCAUCAUUGUUCAAACGAAAUUCGUAGAUUUCUAAGUCUAAUAAAAACGAAAUUGAAAUCUUGGGUUUGCAGGAGAGUCAUAACAUAUUCUCCACCAAGAAAUUAAAAAUGCCAUUACAUUUUUUAUGUAGUUUUGUUUUCUUUAAGGUUCUGUUGGCUGAAAUAAAAUUGGUUUUUCACCGCCUUGUUUUUUUCGUUUUGUCUCUUGUUUACCUUCUCCUUGAUCAUUCCCUCUAUUUUUUUUUUAAAUAUAAUUAUGUGUAAUUGACUGAGCGUUCCUUCUAUUAAUUUUCCUUCUUUUAAGUGACUGCAGUCCAUUGCUUUUAUUUGAAAUUUCAAGCUCUGAAUAUAUGGUUUUAUAUGGAAUCAGAAAGAAAUACAGAAAUGAUUUCUAGGUUUAGGAUAAGAGGGGGGAGACAGGAUGUAAAAAGCUACAAAUGGAGGGAGAGUGAAUGGCAAUUGAGUAAAUAAGUAAGACAAACAUGGUUCAUAAAUCUGUAAGUUAAAUUAACAUAUAAAAAUUAAAAGGAAAGCCACAUGACAAUUGGCAAAAGGGUGUUGCAGCAAUUGAUGCUAGCAUUCCUCUUAAGUUAAUAGGUAACUGCGUAGAAACAAGCUUCUGGCACCAUCAUAUCUAUCUUGGAUUCUUGAUAACCAUAAUAACUAAAAGAAAGGUGUAUUUAUUCACGGGCAAAAUGAAAGUUCAUGAAUCAUGUGUGAGAAAGGAGACAAACCUCAAGAUGUCAAAGAAAGCUCAUUAAAACUAUUAUUGCAAACAUAAAGAUAAUAGAAGAUAGGAUAUGAAUUAUUCGGCUCAAAUUAAUAUGCCUUAAUCAUUAUUGUACAAGUUGUUAAGGCAUGCUGUUGGUAGUACAAAAGUCAAAGGUAUAACUAGGUUGACCAUCAUUACAAAAAGUAGAAAUUUGAUGUCAUGUGAAGAGAUUUCAUUUGAAGUAUCCCUGAAGGCUUUAACAACUAGAAUUUACCUGUUAAUCAAUUUCCAUGAGUUCACAACUGACCAACAAGUAAAUAUCAAUUUCUUAGCGUGGAGUAGUUAUGCCAACUAUAAAAUCACAAUUCACAAUUCACAAUGCACACAGCAUUCCCUAGAAGUAAGAUGUGGAACCAGAACAGGGAUUCUGACACAAAUGCCUAGAUCUAAUCUUUAAUUCCAACAACGAACUAUUUCCACAGUCACAUUAUUUGGCUACCUUAUAAUCCUGUGCUACCAUUCAUAGGCAUUUCAUGAACAAGAACAAGAAAAUCUAACUAUAAUAUCAACAACAAAAGAAUUAUAAACGGAAAAAGAACUUUAAAUACUAAGAAAUGGGUAUCAGAAAAAUACCACUCAAGAAUGCACUGAAGAUGAAAUUCAUGCUUGCAACCCGUCAACUGCAUACAGAAAACGAGAAUUGAUUAAAACGGAAACCAGAUAAGAAAAGAUAAUAGUGUCUCAACCAUUUUAUAUAUACCGUAGAAGGAUCAUUUUCACAGAAGGCCUCUAGGCAUAUACUGCAAGCAUCAUCACAGGCUUCCUGGAUUCCUCCCUCCACAAAAGCUGCUGCUGAUGUCAAAUGGGCAUCGGAUUUGUUGGUCUCUUCUAUUCCCGGAACCUGUAAAGCAACGCUGUAAGCUUAGCAAAUACGAUUUGUAAAAUUCACGGAACUUCUUCCACGGGGACAUAGAAGCAUAAAUAAUGAAGGUGAAGUACUAACGCAAUCAAGAACAAUGGAGUUUAAAAGUAUAUCCUUAAUCAAACCAAUACAAAGUAUAUUAUCUUACAUUGUAUUUACAACAAAGGGAACAACUUCAGCACUGAAAGGCCAACACUAAGAAGCACAAAUAAUUUAACCCACCAAGAUAAUCAGAUCAAAAAUUCAUAAAAUCAAAUUAAGAGCUCUCAAAAUUACAAAUAAAUAACAAAUUACUCCUUUCUUCCCCUUGAAUUCAGAAAUAAAGCAUUGAAGUACACUAAAACAUAUGAAAACGAACAAUCAGAAGAAUCAAGGGUCAAUUAAACAGUGUUUAACACCUAAUUUAAGAGGGAAUAUUACAAUUCAUGAGCUUGUCAUAUUUUCUUACCAAUGGAAACCAAUUUAAUCAUUUGAUGGACAACCAAAACAGUCAAAUCACAAAAGUAGUUAAUUACCUCCAUGAAAAUUGCAAAGCCUUGAAAUUAUACAGCCAAAAAAUCGAUCCUUGAUUGCAGGGAUGAAGUUUAAAUUGGGAUUAUGGGAACAGCGAAAACCCUAGAGAGAGAGAGAGAGGGAGAGGAGAGAGUUUGCUAAUUAGUCAGCUCUUUGCUUUUUGUUCACUUUAUUCAUUGUGAGCGAGCGAAGACUUGACUCUUGAGUGCCGCGGAGUGGCGAAGAAUUGUAUAUGCGUCGGCAGUCACCACAGUGCUCACACGUGUCCUUCCCACCGAAUCGCUUUUGACGAUUCAUUCUAGCUUAUCUUACCCGCCACUCUCUUCGGUCUUUCUCGAUCUUUUUUGGCUGUCAACCCAAAAAACAACUUGGAACAAAUCAAUUUCACAAACUACUUUUCCUUCAUAGAUUUUUUCUUGGAAAUUUGGCUGUUUUGAUCCAUUCUUUACAAUUUGGUUGCUAGAAUGAUCCAUUCCCUAAAAAAUUGUUGUUCUUUAUUAUUUUUUAUGUAAAAUGUCUAAAUUCUUAUUGUAUAAUUGCUCACUUCAACGACUUCAUUAACUGUUCAAAAUUUCAAAUCUCCUCUCCCCUCUCUUCAAAAUUCUAGAUCUUCUUUGUGGAGCAAAAAAUAAUCACAAAAAUUCACAAGGCAACACAUAAGCUUUUAUUCUAGGAAAACAAGAUUGCCCUCAUUACAUGGGCAGGGCUCUGAAGCAUCCCCAUGUGCAGCUCAACAAAAGCUUGCCCAAAGACUAAACAAAUCACUUACAAUCAAUAAGGGUAGUCGGAACACGUAGUUCAAGUGAAGAGUCAAAUUCACACCUUCCGCUGAUCUCCAAGGUGUCUUGGCCCAAUCGUGAUCCCUUUUGCUUAAGAGAUCAAAAAGCCUAUGGCGAGUUCUCAGCUGCCCAACUCCGUCAAUAUAACCUAUGUUGAAGAAGUACUAGAACUCAUUGAUAGUUAGGUCCAAGUCAAAGAACUUACUCCCCAACCAUCAUGCGGAUCGCAUUUAGAGAACACUAGGCAACACAAAGUAGUAAGGAUGGAACUUGAUGAUGUGAGAACCAAUCAAAUGUCAAUUAUACAAUAUAUAAUAAAUUCACAAUUUAUUUCAAAUUACAAUUUCACUAUAUAUACAAUAUACCAGAAUAUGAACAAUUAAUAAAAUUGCAUAUAAAAUCACAAAUCACUAACUUGUUUAUGGAAGAUAGAGGCUUGCAGUAGCAAUCUCCUAAGACAAAAAUUCACCCCUACACCAGUGCAGUAAUUCAACAGACGUCUAUCUUGCAGGAUACAACUAUCUAACCCAAGUUCUUGCACUCGAACUUGGAUUCUUGGCGAAUUUACUAUGUGUUUCUCUGUGAAAGAUCAAAAAGAGAGGGCGAUUGAAUUGUAUUUACGUUUGUGAUAUAACUGUCAUAUAUAUAAUGGCGUUUUUGAACAGUUAUGGCCAUUCAUUCUUAUUUUUCCAGAACGGAUGUAAUUAUUUAUGUAAACAAUCUUAUCCUUUCAGAAAAAAGUGAAUCCUAAAAUCAAAAACGUAAAAAUUGUACUUGUGUUUUUCGUCCAUUUGAACCCAAGAGACCCAAGGCCCAUCUUUGACAUUUAAUAUAUACACCCAAACCUUCCAAGUCCAUGGCUUUGGCCCAAUUCCUUGCAAACAAUAAGUGAGUGAACUCACUUAUAAAGGGGAAGUAAACAAAGUGUAUGGGCAAUGUGGGACAAAAGUCCCACACAAGUUCUAACAAUACCCCACAUUUUAUAUUCAAACUCUAGCAGAUGACUCUCUUAGCAAUCCCACUGCAUGGUUUAUGGUUGCUCUCUUCUUUUGCACGUCUUAUGCGAACUUCAGACGGAAUCACAUGCUUGUACACCUCCAGAAAGUCUUUGAACCGCUCGUCGAAAGUGAUCUUGAUGUGAGCAGCCCUGAAGUAACCUACCUUACCAGAAGAUCCUCCCUGAUGAUACAAUGGCAGAAGGUAUUCUUCACCUUUGUGGCUUGAAGGAGACAUGUUCAGAAAUUCCUACAAAAAUAUGAGAAAAAGAUAUCUAAUGCAUGCCCAAGAAAUAAAAAAAUAUAUAUGUGGAGCAGCACGCCAGGCCGCAACCAACUGGCUACCCUAUGGAGCAACCCAACACGUUAGGGGGCCCAACCCACUAGAAGGCCCAGCACACCAGGCAGCCCAGCGCCCAGGGUGUUAUCUCUCUCCCUUUCAAUCCAAAAGGGCUAACAGCCCAAGUAAAACAGAAGGGGGUUGGUGCCCAUGUGCUUCCCUCAUUCUCUCUCAUUCCUGCACAAGCCCAAGCCUAGCAACCAAUUGGCGGAAAGCCAAACCUACACUAGCUUUCCCCCAUUGCGCCCCAAUGCCCUUUGGCCUAAGCCAAGCCGACACCUGGCCCCAACCAAUCGUGCCAUGCCACUUCUCGGCUCUUUGCUAAGCCGUCCAACCUACAGCAAUAGCAAUAGCACAAUUGCCUCAUGGUUACUUUAUCCCCAUUCUCGGCUAACGCCUAGCCAAUUUUCAAGCUCGAAGUUCCAUAAAAUUAAAAAGAAGAAGAAUUAAAUUUUUUUUCUUACCUUGGUGCGGCAUGGAAAAGAAGAAAAGGAACAAGAAACGAUUCUUUACGAGGGCAAGCAAGGAAGAAGGCUAGGGGAGGGGGAAUAAAUUUUCUCUGACUCUCUCUCUUCUUAUAAUUUUAAAAAUUUCUCUCCAAAAUUAUUUAACUCCCUGCUUAAGGCAGACUUAAAUAGGUUUUCGUAGCAAUUGAUUCCCUUUCCUAGAAAAAUUUAUCUCCAAGUCAAAGUAGAAGAUGUGCAUCAAAUUAGAAAACAACUCUUUACUUACCUAAGCAACUUGGGAUUUCUACACUUACUGCCUUUGUUGCAAGCAACCUAGCAGGUGUAAGGGCAUUUUUGGAGCAAAAAAUAAUCCCAAAAAUCCACAAGGUGACACGUAAACUUUUAUUCAAGAAAGACGAGAUUACCCUCAUUAAAUGGGCAGGGCUCUCAAGCGUCCCCAUGCGCAACUCAGCAUCCUUGGAAAUUCAAGUACUUGACUACGACUGCUCGCAGCUCCCCUACUCAUGUGAAAAAUUCAAAGGUAUUAUAGAUAAAGAAUGACUACCCUAUGGAUGACAUAACUUGGCUAAUAGGAAGCCGCCAUGUGUAGGGCAAAACGCUAUCCCCAUAUUCAGCCACCUCCCUCCAUUUAUACCCUCAUCUCCACCAAAUUUUGGUAAGCUUUUCGUUGUACAAAAAACCCUAAAGAUUCGCUCUAUUUAGAGUUACUGACUUAGGCAUCAAACAUCCCUUCCUCCCCCACGCUCCUCGUGGGCGCGUGAGACUUUGAUCUUCAAUCAAAGGUGUUGAUUGUUUGGUAGAUACUUUUUUGUCAAGACUGAAGAUGAAGGAAAUUGUCUACCACAUCCUCCCUUUUCAGACCACAUUCUCUUUCAUAUGCUUGCCCUCCCCCUCACUCUCUCUUUAGGUUAAGGUUUCAAUCUUCAAGUUUUCCUAUUCCUUUUGAGUUUUCCAAUGGAAAUCAAUCAAUAGUGCAAAACAACGAAAACCUACAGUUUUUUUUCUCAUGAAAUAUUGCAAUUAUAAAGUAAAUGUUUUUAGAAUCCCCUACUCUAAGAGAUAAAGUAGAGAAAAUACAAAAGAAAAGAGAGAAUAACCCAAGUAUCUUUCACUGUCAUUAUGCCAUCUUUAUAUGAGGCAUCAAAUACAUGAGUGGUCAUCCUAAGAUUCUUUGUAGUAAUCAAAAAACCUCUCUACAUUAAUAUAAUUGUUUAUGAUGGUUUACUACCAUACAUUAGAUUAGGACAACCAUUAUUCAUGUUUCACAACACUCCCCCUUGGAUGUCUAUAUAUCAAUGAUAAGUUGCCUCGUUAUAAACUAGCUAAGUGUCACGUCCUGAACCCGAGGUCGAUGGAAAAAUAUAACUCUACUCCCAGUGCGCAAGCUAAAAACUAAACUAAACAAAAAGACUGAAGGCAAAACAAACUUCUCUUAAAAAAAAAAUUAAAAAAAAAAACUCCAAAAUCUUACAAACUUUGGAGAAAUAAAUAAAUCCUUGAAUCCUCAUCUAACACCACCUCAGUUCCCUCUGGCAACUCUGUUGCCAAAUAACUCAUUUGUAAAAUAAAAGGGGGAGGGGUGAGCAACAAUCACCAUCGCCCAGUGAGUAGAAUAUGUAAUACGCCAAUCAAGCGUGUUGUUUUACUCACAAUAUACCAAAGUAUAAUUAUACACAAGUUUUCAUCACAUAUAUGCCAUAUUACAUCAUCCCUUCACAUGUUGGUCAUUCUUCAUAAUAUGUAGCUUACCACGUGAUCCCUGAAUUAGCAUUUAUGCCUUAAAGUCCUCUUGUGCCAUAUAUUUAUCCCUCGAAUAACCAAAAUACUAAAGUUCUCAUGCUCCAUAAACAAUCUCAACAAUUCCACAUAUAAUGUGUAUAUGAACACCAAAACAUUGUUGGAAAUGUGCCCUAAAACCAAUCAUAUGAUGAUACUUUACGGACAUUUCACAUGUUAAACUAAUCUAGUUUAAUAUCAAGGGCAUAGAUUAUUGUUUUAAGCCGUCUCAUAUAAAUGUUAUAUGCUUAAACAAUAAGUCCAAGGAAUAUGUGAUUGGGAGAAUACGAUCUAAAGAAGUUAGAUUCAUGAGACAAUUCUUUUGUAGACACAUCCUAAAUGUUCCUGAUCAUAGGAUUGCCAAUUGGGCAUUGACAAUCCGUUAAGAUCAGUACGUACUGUGUCUUCUCUCAGGGAGAGUGACUAGUCUCGAGUCAUUGGUGUGUGUGACAUCAAGACAAGUACGUAGGUGCUCAAUAGAGAAUGAGUUCACUGAACACGAUCAACGAAGAGUUCUCAUAUUCAUGUCACAUGAGAACUCAUGGUUGGGAUAAUGCAAAGUAGUCCUUGACCUGAGGCAUCAUAGAUGUCUAAUGGUUAGGUCCUUGAUCUUUGAUCAUGUCAAACGGCAUUCCAUUGGAGUGUCCACGGCAUUGUUGGAGUCAAGUUAUCUAGUCAUAUAGGCAUAUGAAUGCGCAACAAGAGAUCUCUAACCUUCAAACCGUUUGAGGGAGAAUACUCUAUGAUAUGAUUAAGAAUCUUUGGCCAAAGUAUGAAUGAGAUUUAGGAAAGCGUUCCAAAUCACAUUCAAGGUAAUCAUAUAAGCACACGAAUCACAUUGGACAGUAGACAUGAAUAUAUAAACUAUCAAACCAAACAAUGUGGUCAAGAGUAUUGUAUUAGAGAAAGACCGUAUUGCAUUUGUAAUCCUAAACUGAAUAGGUUCUCCACCUCUUCUGAUUAGCUUGGGUAACCAUGAUAUGCUGCUAGGUGUCACUCAUGGUUUGUGGAAGCCCUAAACGUGUGUAAUCACUAAAGGGAGAAUUGAAAGUAAGUUUCAAUUCACAAUCGAUUGGAAAGAGUUUUAAUCGCCCACUGCCUCGCUAAAAGGAACCUAAUGGAUCGUACACCGUGUAAGGUGAAGAUUGAAGAAACAAUGGAGAUGAGUAAGAAUGAUUCAAUGGUUUAAUUAUUUAUUAAUGGCAAGGAUUAAUUAAUAUGUUAAUUAAUCAAACGAAUAAGUUCGUUAAAUACCUCGGGAUAGUUUUUGGACCUUAAGGCCCAAUGGGCUUCGAACGUCAAGCCCAUUGACUUAAGUUGUAUGACAACUUAAUGACUAAAUAUUCACAAAGGCCCAAACAACCCAAAUACACCCUAAGGCCGGCCAUAUUGUUAAGGGUAGUGAACUUGGACUUAUUUACAAGUUUGCCACUCAAAUGAAUAAAGGUAUAAAUAUGACUUUAUAGCCAAAAUUCAUUUAGGGUUUGUUUUGGAGAAAAUUGGAGAGAACAUGUCUCUCCAUUUCUCUCUAAAGAGGCCGGCCCCUUGGAGGGUGCAUCUAGCAAUCCCACUACUCCAAGGUCACUCAUUUCUUCUCCAAUCUAACCUUGGUGAAGAGACUUAGAGGUUCUCAAUUUUGGGAACUUGGAGAAACCUUUUCAUCCAUCCAAAUCCAUAGAUUUAAGAUGCAAGGAAUGAAGGCCCUCUCUUUGGGUGAUUAGCCUUUGCUUAUGCAAAGAGGAAUCUACAAAGGUAUAAAUCUCAACUCACUUUGUUUUGAGUUGAUUAAUGGUUCACCAAUCUACUAGGCUUUGAAUUUCAUGGUUAAUGUUUUGUUUUUUAAUGCAUGCAAGCAUGAUUCCGCCUUUUAAUUGUUAAAUGCAUGCUAUAGAUGUUAUUCAAAUGAACAUGUUUUCACAAAAUAUUCCUUCAAACAUUUCCCAAAAGCUAACAUGCUUGACUUGAAAAUAACAAGAUAUUUAAAAAUAGAGUAAAACCCAUGAUAAUUCAUGGUUUUUAUGUUAUCUGAAAAUAAGAAUUUUUAGAACACAUUAUAUAAAUCACUCACCUCACAAAUAGAACAUUGGCAUGACAACUAUCUACAGAUCCCAUAUGUCAAAUUCUCUCUCUGUGACUCACUCUGCAUGCAUUCCAUUGGUUUUAGGGCACAUUUCCAACAAUCUCCCGCUUGCACUAAAGCCAAUGAGUCGUGUGUUUAGUGAGGAUACCUUUUCAGAUGUCAUUUCAAAGAUAGUUGAGUAAUAGGCCUUGACAACGGAUAUUUAUAUGUCAUCCAUAGAAGCAACUUUGAGAUUAAUGACGUUACUGAUAUACAUGAUUUCAAUUGUAUGGUUUAGUCUCUCAAUUGUGUUUGGAACUUGAUGAGACCUUGAUUCCCUAGCUUAAGCUAACGGCCCAUUAAUGUUGUAGUGUGGGUGCACUAAUGGCGCUUUCUGGUUGGAACCAAAUAGAGAGUUCAUUAAUGGACUUUCCCAUCCAAACAACUUUGUUGUAAGCUUCUAAAUGGCGAUAUAUUUUGCAAUGAUUGUGAAAAAACUAGAGUCUUUAUUUUUAAUGUUUCCAUUCAACUAUUUCUUUAUUCGUAACAAAGAGAUAUCUAAUGCUGGAUAUGAUGUUAGUUUCAAAAUCUAAAUCAGUUUUACACUUCCUUUUGUUACUUGAAUUUUCCUUGUUAUUGAGGAAUCAUUCCUUUAGUAUUUCUCAAACACUUAAGGACUCACUUGACAGUUAACAUGGUUUUGAUCUUAGAUUUGCACUAAUAUUGUCUUGUACCAUUCUUAGUACAACUCAUACCAGUGUUUUCAUACAAUAUAAAAUACCUAAACCACCUUUCUGCGAAUGCAUAAAGGAUUCUAUUUACGCAUUCCAUUUCCUUGGUAGUCUUUGGGUACACACUCUUUAAGAAGAUCAACUUCCUAGUCUCACUGGAAUUGUUCUUCUAUUUGAAGUUUAUCAUUUGUCUAUUAAUAUGGAUUGAGAUAAGCCAAUUAACUUAUGAAAUCUAUCUUAUAGAUUCUCUUCCGUAGUGUAUAGAGCAUGUCCCCCAUAAACAGCCUAUCAUAAUAUAACGUUUUAAAGUUAACUUUAUUAAAGUAGCAUUUUAUUUUUAUUUCCAUAUAUAUGUACAAAUUUAGGAAUAUGAAUAACUCCCACUAUUCUUUUGUAAACAAGAGAUUUAUUUACACCUUUAUGAGAAAUUAAAUGAUUUGACGUUUUCUCAUUAGGUGCUUAUAGCUCCCACUAGCUUGCUUAGACUCAUGGUGGAUGGAUCUCUAUAACAUAUACAUCUUCUGAUUCCUAGUCUUAGACAUAAAUCAUCAAGACAAUCUUGAUAAUGGUUUCGGAAAACCAUAUUAUAUUCAAAUGUUGAAUCACUGUGUAGUUGUAGCAAGCAAUCUCUCAAUUAAUUGAACUCAAGACUACGUCAAAGAUGGUUUCUUCAAAGUUAAACUAUCUCUUCGAUUGUAGUCACCUUAAGAUACUAAUUGGUUUUAUAGGUUUCUAUACUUCGAGUUUGUUAACUACCAUUUCCUUGAGUGUAAAUCAAACAUACGCUCAAUGUAGUCCCAAGGAUCUUCUCUUUAAUUCCUUUAAAUUAAGGAGGUGUAACUCUAUGACUAGUCAUAACAUUCAAACCAUUCAACUGAGAUUUUUUUUUUUAAAAUCCUUAUUGAUCUUCUUGGAGCUUGUGGUGUAGGGUCUGGGUUUUUAAAUUUGUUGAACAACUUAUACCUCAAGGACAUAUUCCUUGAGUUCUAUCUCUUGUUCAUUUGCUCUUUCUAAGGCAAAUCCUAUUUGGAGGACUAUAAUGAACUACCCAACAAACAACCUUUGUUAGUAGGUCUAUAAAUAUGAUAUCCAUAGAAUUAUGUAUCCCACAAGUGUACUUGCAACACACAUUGCUCUUAGAACAUAUGUAAGUCUAUUGACAUAUGUUUGACAAUGCCAAAUCUUAACUUACUUAAGACUUGACUUUCUUUCCAACUACAAGUGUUUGAUGACCACUCAGAUGUUUGAUGCCCUAUAUAAGAUGGCAUAAUGAUAAUGGAAGAUAUUUGAGUUCUUCUCUUUUCUUUCUUAUUCUCUGUACUUUAUUUCUCACAUGUAAUCAACACGCUCUAGGUAUAAUUCCUUCAUCUUUUGAAUUUUUUGUUCUUUUAUCUAUGAUACUAGUUGAUUCGGAUGGGAUAUCAAUCUUUGUAGGUGUAUUUGCAGCAGGUAUAUAUUAUUUGUCACUCUUGCUAUGUUUGUAAAUGCCCACAACCAUCCCUCAUCCAUUUCCACCCAAUAAUCAACGAGAUUUGAUCUCCGUUUCGCGAAGUUUGCACCGACGGGCUUCGUGGGUGCACAGCGGCGAUUGGCUAUUUUUUAAGGGUAUUUUAUCGACCACCACCACCAUUAAACAUCUCCUGAACCCAGGAACAAAGCCCAAACAAGUUUGGGGGUGGCGGAGCUGCAGAUUCAACGAAUUGAAGAACACCUACUUUAGGGUUUUCAACGGAUCGAGGCCAUUUUUAGGUGUUUCCUGGUCAAAUUGGACUUCGGCCCAGGUAUGAAAAAUGUUUCUCUCAUUGAACUCUACAUGUUUGUAAAAUUUGGUGAAUUUUGGAGUUGGUCAAUUCGUGGUUUUCGUUCGCCAAAAAUCGCCGUCUGCAGUGGCGCGUGGCCUGUGACAGCCCGUCCCAAGAAACAAUUAUCGUUGAUGUGAAAAGACUAAAAUGCCCUUAAGCGUUGAGAUGUGUUGUGUGUGACAUGCUAUUAGAAGUGGACUAAUAUGUUAAAUUCCUAAGUUUUUGGGACCAAUUGGAACUAAAGAAAAUGGGUGGUGAUUGGUUGGUUGUUUCUAAACCACACACACACAAAAGUACCACUUUCUCUCUCUCACCCUCCCGUACUCUCUCCCUCUCGGACACACACUCUCUCUCUCUUUUCUUCUCUCUUGUACGGACUACACCUAAAACCCAUUGAAAGUGUGAAGAUUGAAGGUGUGAAGCACACCAUUGUGUUCGUGAGAACCAUACGACUUGAAUGGUACCAUUUUCAGGUAAGAACUCCUUCAAAAAAUCGUGAAAUCCGAACCCCGAUUUGAGGUACUAUUCAUGCUCACGUAAAAUGUUGAUUUUUAGGGAAUUUUAAGGACAUAAGAAGCUUUAGGAGGUCCUAAGGAAGCUCGAAGUGGUUCGUUGGGUGAAAUUAGACGUCGGGAUCGUGAGUUUCAAGCUUGGCCGGAUUUUAUGGAAUUUUUCCGACGAGAUCCCGUAACUUUUGGAGCUUCAAAUUGGUAAGGAAAUGUUCUUCAAGUUGUAAGCUUCAUUUUGGUGCAAAUUUCGUAGGAAAUGGAAGAAAAAUGAGUGAGAUAUAGCGAUUUGAAAAAUUCCCAGUUUUCCGGCGACGGCGACGGUCGCCUAAGUCUGAGGUUGAAGACGACAGAAUAUUCCGUCAAUUCUGACGGAAUAUUCUGACGCCGUCAGUUAAGUUUAACGGAAUCUGUUAGGAUUUAACGAAAUAUUCCCUAACUGUCGUUACUGCUUUCGUUAGAGUACCCUGCGCGUGGCCGCGCGUCUUGCCGUGCACUCGCUGGUGCGUGGCGAUGAGUGGGUGGUGAAAAAUUAUUUUAAAAAUAUAGGGACGAUCCUGAGAUUGUGUAGGUCACUGUGGUAUAUUCAUAUACCCAAUUUGAGCUAUUUAUGAAAAGUUAUUACAUAGUUUGGUAUAUGUGCAUUAAAGUGACGUUUAUAUAGUUGUUUCUCCUAUAGACAAGACCUAUUCGAAGGACGAGCGUAGCCAGGCUAGGCACGGGGGUUACGACCCAGCUACAUAUCAGUGAGUGGGCAGUUAUUUUCAGUAUAUAUAUAUCUACUUGACGUUUUUCCCAGAAAACGUAUUUAAAAGAAAUGUGAUUUAAAUGCCAUGCCAUGUAUGCCUCAUAUUUUAGUAUAUGCAUUAUCAUAAAGGAAAACUAAUGAAAAGGGCUUGAAAACUUUAAGUUUUAACGAUAAGGAUAAAAUAAAGGGUAAAGUGAAUAGUACCAGGUUUGACUUUUUAGUGUAAAAAUGUGGUUUUUCGUUAAAGUGAACAGUACCGUGAGCUUUUCGUUAAAACUCCCUUAUCAUAAUUAUGCAUAUUGUUGCAUGGUGUUGUGGAGGCCCAGGUAAGCUACAGGUGAGUACAUUAUGCUGGUAAUGGUUAUGAGAUAUGAUGAUGAUGAUGUUGAGAUGUAUAUUAGAGCUCAUUAAUCUGCACCCCGGUGUUAGUGCUCCUGCCCAGAGUUAGGGGCACAGUGUUUCACGUGAUGUUCACCUCUCGCACCACACGCUCAUCUUGGAUCCAAGUUAGGUGCACAGUCCUGUCGUAUAGACAACUUUGAGUGGGUCCGACUCGUAGGUGACCCGCGAUUUAUCGCACAGCCUUCACGUGAUCAUAGCAUUAGAGCGUAUUAUUAUUUUACACCUAAUCUUGUCAGUCAGACCACGUGAGGUGGUUCCAACUCGUGUGCAGAUAUGUGUAUACAUUAUGAGAUAUGAUGAGAUAUGUGACGUAUAUACAUGAUGAUUUAUAUGAUGAGAUAUGAGAUUGAUGUUGUGAUUGAGAUAAGCUCUAGAUUCCGUUGUAUAGAUCACGUCAGGUGACUUCGGCUAGCAAUCAGUUACUGUGAAUUGCAUCACCUGGCUUACUUUUGGUAUUUUUAUGUUAUUGGGCAUGGCAUACGCAUGGCAUAUAUAUAUACAAAUAUGAAUCUUGAUUUAUUGAGCAUGAUUUGAGUUAUAUACAUAUUAUUGUAUUCUAUUUUCUGGGAAAGUAUCUAUAUACUUGUUUUACGGCGAGGGGUUAGUAUAUUCAAAGGAAAAUAAGGUUUUCGUGUAAAUGUGUUUUACUGACCCACUCAACUUUGUUUUUCGCCCCUCCAAGUUUUAGGUAGCUAAGUUUGGUGGCCACGAGGAAUCCAACGUCAAUUCUAACAGAAUCCGAAAAAGUAGGAUUCACCUUUGGGUGUUGUAUCUUAGUAAUUGUCCUACUUGACUGCAACUAGACUUUCUUAUUGCUCUGAUUUAUACACUUUGACUGUCACUAGCAUCCUUUCUUAACUGGGAUUGCUAGUUGCUUGGUUUUAAAUUGUUUGUAUUCCCUUACUCUUUAUCGCUUCCGCUUUGCACACAAGGCUACGUCACGCUCACGUGAUGGCCAACACGUCUCGACUUCAGUCGGGGUGUGUCAUGGCCAGAUGGCCGAUUUUGUCUUUUUAAGCUAAUAUCAAUAUUUUGAGUUAAUGUUUGGUUUUUGUUUGAUGUGAUUCAAUCGUGGGGAUGUAGUUUCAUUUUUAUCAGCCACUUGAAUAUUUUUAUUAAAUGGUUUAAAUUUGACGACGAAUUACGAAUGGCUUGAUCCCAUUUGAGGGUACGUAGGCAGUCUAACAAGAAGGUUAGAUGCAGUAAUAAAGCGAUCAAAUUAAAUUUAUUGUGGUUAAUAGAGUAUUGAUUAACCAUGACUUUAUCUUAGCCAUGGCCAUGGCUAUACCCAUAACCAUUUAUAAACGGUUAACCAUACCCAUAACCACGUACCCAUUUAACCGUAACCGCAUACCCAUUUAUCCUUUUUUACUCAUUUACUCGUUUUUUACCCGUCUACACAUUUUUUACCCAUUUAUAGGUACAUUUAACAUGCAUUUCCGUAUUUCAAUAUUUUGAGUCCUCAUACCAUUCUAAUAAUUGAAAUUAUAGUUUACAAACGAUUUUUUUUAGCUGUUACCAAUGAACGUAAUAUAAUAAAUUUGCUAAGAAUUGAUUUGUUUACUAGAUCAAUGAAUGAUAUUUUUAAUAAAUUUGCUAAGAAUUAAGGAGAAAUAUCAACACAAGGGCAAAAAUGCUUCAUAAUUUGCAGCAAUCUCAAAUAUCACCAUGUCUUUAUGUUCUAUGAUCUGCUCAGGUUCAUCAUUGCAUUUUUAAUAUAUUCCCCCAAGCUUUCAUUUGUAAUUUGGUAUUAUUUCCAUUCUAGUGUUAGUAUAAUAUCGAAUGAGUUCAAAGAUGUUAGCAAAUAUAUUAAAAUAAAUGGUUAAACAGGUACCCGUUUAUAAUCAUGGGUAGUACCCAUAACCACAAAUUUAAAUUUCACGGGGUAAACGGAUAUACUCAUAACCGUUUAUUUUUUUAAAGGGUUAUCCAUAACCGUAACCAUGAGUUUUAAAUGAGCGAGUAACCACGGUUACCCAUACAUGUUUGCAUAUCCCUACAUGCACAAGACAUGCAUAUGACACACACAUGAUAUGCUCAUAGAUCUAAGCCAACCCAAAAACCCAGAGCUCAUAGCUCUCUCUUUGAAAUUAGAAAAUGACGUCAUCAGUUGUGAAAUCACCACCAUAUACAUUAUAUGCACAUCACAUGCACAUUAUAUGUACAAUACAUAUGCACAUGAUCUACACAAAACUGGAGAUCGAACAAUGAGCUGCUUUUCGCAUUAAUAAGAAACAUUAAAGCAAUUUAUUGGUAUAAUGGAUACAAUUAAAACAUAAUUGUUACGUAUAUAAGGUUACAGUGGCAGUUUGAAAAGUCUUGUUAUGUAUAUCAACCACCGGUUAACCGUGCACAUGGAAAACAUGAUACUCGUUGUAGUUAUUUCAUGGACAUGCAUGACCCUUAACGUCCUCUAAGCUUUUUCUUAAUUUUGUUUUUUGCUGAGGCGAACUAGGUUGUGGUCAUACUUGCUAAACUUCCAGGCCUAACAUACGUGCAUUAUAACUAGUGAACAAUCUCACUUCUUAUAUUAAGUUAUAGUCAUACUUGCUAAACUUCCAGGCCUAACAUACGUGCAUUAUAACUGGAAAAAAAAUUCACAAAUUUCUGCAAUUGAGCAUUGAACAAGAAAUUGUUCCAUCCAGUUUUGUAGCACGUCAAAAAGUAAAGUUUAUUCCACAACCCAUAGGCCCCAACAUGAAACACAAACUCUAAUUUAACUUCUAAGUAUUAAUUCAUCUUACAAACAACCUAUUUAUUCCAUAAAUCAUUGAUGUAGAAACUUGGAACUAAACACCCUACCUUACUAUGCCUACCGAAGCUUCAGUUUUAGGAAAAAAUGGAACUUUCAGGUCAAAACAGAAAAUAUGGUGCAAAACCCAGCUCACUCCUCUCAUCUCUCCCUCGCAUCCCUUUGUUCGAAAUCAGAGUAUGAGGUCAACCCAAAACCCAACUCACUCUUUUCACCUCUCUUUGGACUUUCAUCUCUUCGAAAUAUGAGCUCAACCCGAAACCCAUAGCUCACAGAGUUCUCUCCACAUCCUUCUCUUCCAAAUGAGAAAAGUGAUGCAAUGGGAUGAUGAUUUUUAGUAUUUAUGUGGGUAUUUUAGUCAUUUCUGUUCGUGCAUGGUGUGCAUGGCCGGUGUGUCAUAUUUUUGUCCCAAUGUUAAGAAAAUGUCCUAUUUUUUUGGUAUUUCUCUAAAAAGUUUCACCAAGUAUAACCUCGGAUUGAACCCAUGCACUUUCAUCUGCGAGAUCAAUGUUGAUGGGCCUCAAAGAUUGAACUCAAGGGAUGGGAAUGGUUUGAAAGGCAUUGGAGAAAAUUAUAUUCAACUAAGGAUGAAUUGGUACAUGACACUGAUAUUACACAAGAUUGAAAUGCUGCACUAAAUAGCAUUGCAUAUUCUAAGGCCUUCAUCUUUUUGUGUGUUGUUUAUGUUUCUGAUCCUCUCAAGAAAAGAGUGCCUUUAAUGAGGAAGAAGCAAUUACAAUGGUAAUUAAGAAUUGAUGGUAGUUUAAUUUUUGUAAAUGUUUGAAGAGAUUGUGGUGAAAAAUGAAAAUUUGCAGAGAAAGACAUAGGUAGCUAGUACUCUGCCGUUUUGAUUUUUAAUUUUUGGUUUUUAAUAUUCAAAUCUUUUAAUUUAAUAUUUUUUUUUUGUUUCUAUAAAGACUUUCUUAUUGAACAAAAAAUAAAAUCUUUUCUUUAAUUAUAAGGGUAAAUUAAUAAAUUUAUAAACAUGUUUUUUCACUCAAGGGUUAUAGGAAAGGAAAUUAAAGCUUUAUGGGGUGUUUGUGUAAUUAACCCCACAUUUGUCUAAGGUUGCAUUUAUUUAUUUAUUUAAUGGGCUGGAUAUUUAGUUUGUUGGAUUGGUUUUUAGUACAAGUUCCCACGACAUUUGAUCAAAUUAUGUUACAAAUUACAAAGUCGCAUAUUUAUUAAGAGUUGGUUAAGUUUUAUGAUUAGCUGGAAUUAGGGAAAACAAAUCUUACUUGAGAUUAAGGUUCUAAAAAACACUAGGCGCUAGUCGGGCGGUGGACUAGCGCCUAGCGCCUAGGUGGCCUAGGCGGAUUUACAUAAAUUUACACUAUAUAUUAUAAAAUAUGAGUAUAUGUGUAUAAUUUUAGGACUUUUUUUCUAAUUUUAUACAAAGAAUAUUGGGUCUAGUUUGUUUUUUCUUUGAACAAAAUAGUGGGCCACAAAAUGAACCCAACUUGAAAGAAAAACCAUUUUUUCAAUUAAACCGACAGUUGGAAUUAGGGAAAACAAAUCUUACUUGAGAUCAAGGUUCUAAAAAAUACUAGGCGCUAGUCGGGCGGUGGAUUAGCGCGGAAUGGACCUCCACAAUGAGGUGAAGGAGGACCGGGUGGGGAAAGCGCGGAAUGGACCUCCACAACAUUGGUUCUUGUUGUUGUAGAUACGGGCCAGUUUGAUGGCACGGGCCUAAGAGCAAGGGGCCUAGGCUAAAAUGUCAUCCUGGAGGUCAAAUUUAAACCUACCAAGGAAAACCCUUAAGAGUUGGGAAUCAGACCAACCUUGGGCCCAACAUGACAAACAGAUGAAAUCGUUGAUGUAGGCCUCCAGCGAGCCUUUCUAAAACACAUGAGAAAAAGACAUGUUGAAGUCCAGUUGGUCGCCCGACCCAAACCGUUGGAGAAGUGAUUUGGUAAAGGUGGCCCAAAGCUCUAACCCGAUAUGCAACUUGUACCAUUUGAACCAAAGUGCAACAUCGCCUAUGAAAUGGACUGCAAUUAUGACCCGGUCGGUGGCAUCAUCCCCAUGAUAAUCCAUAUAUUCCUCCGCUAGAGCCAGCCAAUUGUACGGGUCAUCCUCAGAGAAUUGGAAUAGCUCAAUCUUCAUGUGUUUCAGGCCAAGGAAGGGAGGUGGUGCCCCCAUGAGGAAGGGUGGUGGUUGGAGAAGGUGAAACGAAGAGGAUGGAAGAUGAGGACGAAGGGUAGUUGUAGAUGUUGAGUAGAGAGGGGAUAUCUAUAGGUAACCGGUGAUUGGGGUAAGGGUAUAAGGGAGAGAAAGGGAGAGUGAGUAGUGGGUACCCCAUGUCGGAGGCGGACCAGCAGAGGUGGGUUGGGAGAGUUGGGGCAGCGGGGUAGAUGUCGAACCCAAGGGGAUGUGAAGAUAGCUGAUCGGAAUUUGAGGAAUAGUGGUGGAUGCUAGCAGCGGUUGCCUGGAGGCAUGGAGUUCCUCCAUCAAAUGGUUCUGUACGAGGCUGAUAUUGCGAAGGAAGCUUGGAUGUCCAUUAAGUUCGAUUGGAAAGAUUCUUGGCGAGUGGCUAACAAAGACACCGAAUCGUGAAACCUAUUGAGCUGCUCCAGGAUUUGGUGUUGUUGGUACUCCAGUUCUAGAUCGGCCUCCAUGACAUUGGCCACUACCACGGAGGCUUUGCUUUUCCCCAUGGAUGGCAGCAACCUGUCGUUGAUACCAGAUGAUAGGUGCAAGAGUGCAAAGAGUGAGAAAAAGAGGAAAAAAGAAUACAUUAAGACAUUUGAUUUUCAUUCAUGCCUUUCCCAAAUGGUGAAAGGAAGCUUAUUUACAACCCUAGAGGGGGAAGUGCUCACGAUUAGAACCAAUGUUUUAAAAAACUAGCCUCGGGGCGAGCCUAGGGUGCCUUUGAGGCUGGGCGGUGAGGCUAACGCCUCUGUUUUGCUGGAGUGGGCGAAAUGCUUCGCCGGAAACGCCUAGGUGGUGGCAGCGCGCCUCAAGGCGUCUCAGGUACCUUGUCUGCCCUUUUUUAAAAACCACCCAAACCCAAAACGACAUCGUUUAGGUAAGGGUUUUUAGUUUCAAAAUACAUAUUCGACCACUACCCUAUCGUUCUGCCUUCUUUACCCUCUUCUCUCGCUCCAGAAACACACAGCCGCAUCACCCCAGUCGAUCGUCCUCUUCCAGUCGCCACGCCAUCACCACAACGUCGUCAGCAAGCCCACAAUCAAAUCCCCUAUUUUAAAGGUUAGGGUUUCUGAAUUUCUGAAAAAGUUAGGGAUUUGAUCUUUUUUUUUUUAACUGGUGUGAAAGCCUUGGAGUUGGAAAGUAGAAAAACAGAGAGGAGUGGAGGUCUAAGGAGAGGAGGCUAAAGGCUUAAGGGGAUGGGAGAAGGAUUUGGGAUUGUGGCUAAAGGCUUAAAGGGAUUGGACCGUAUGUGUUGUGUAUUGUGUACAUAAAAAUAAUUAAAAAAUUAGUCUCAUGUUGGAAUUGUUUCUUCAUGAUUUUGUGGUGCAUCUCUGGUAUGCCGUAUGCCUCAUGUGAAUUUUUAAUGAUAAUCUAAGUUGGUAUUGGUAAUGAGUAGAAGUUUUUUACCUGCCUAAUGUACAAAUAAGUCCAAGUAAUUAAAUUAGGAGUUAAAUAAUAGCCACAUGCUAUGGAAAGAUAAGAUGUUAUAAGACAUUUUCUCUUUUUGAUCUGCAUAUAUGCCAAAAUUAGUAAGUGUUCAUGAACAUUAUCUGAUUCUUAUUCAAUAGUCAUUUUCCAAACAAUUUUUGUUGGAUGUCCAUCUUCUCGAAAUGUUCUAUUAAGCUUUUUAUUGGAUUGCUUUAUCUCAUUCAAAAAAGUAAUUGAGUAUGGUCAUUGUUCAUCAUAGUAAUUGUUGCAUAAAUUAAUAGAUUGUUGGUUCAUUAACUGUAUGCUUCGAAUGUUUAUUGUUUAGGCAUUGAAGAAUAUGGCUUCUUCUUCUAAGAAAGAUUUUGCUUGGCAAUGGACAAAAGAUUUGGAUCCUGUCACCAUGCAUUUCUAUUGUGUUUUUUGUAACCACAAAUGCACGGGUUCAAUUUCUAUAUUCAAACAUCACUUGGGUGGAGUAAGUUCAGGAGGAAUGAUAAGUUGUAAAAAAGUCCUACCCAAUGUGAAGGAAGAAUGCUUUGCUAAUGUUAUGGGAACUAAAGAAAAGAGGAAAGCUAGCCAUGAGUUGUGUCAUGGUGGUGGAGAAGAAAGUGAAAGUGUCGAUAUGGGCACAACAAGGACACCAUAUGUAAGUAGUAGGAGUGGGAGUGUAAGUACCACACAUUCACAAGAAAUCAGUUCUUUUCUACCAACUAGGUCAAGGGGACCACUUGAUAAGUAUGUUACAUCGGAAGCUCAUCAAACCACAUUGAAUACACCUUUCAAAAAAGAGGAAAGAAGACAAGCAUCCCGAGCACUUGCACGAUGGUUCCAAAUUAUUGUCAUUCCAUUCAAUGCAGCAAACAAUGAAUAUUAUGUUCAUGCAAUGAAAUUGGUAUCCAAUUUUGGUCCCGACUUUGAUGCUCCUACAAGCCAUGAAUAUAGAACUUGGAUGCUCAAAGAAAAAGUUGAGGAUGUACAAAGUAUGAUGAAAGAACAUCAAAAGGCUUGUAAGAGAUAUGGAUGCACUAUUAUGUCAGAUUGAUGGUCAGAUGGCAAAAGUAGGUGUUUAAUCAACUUUCUUGUCAAUAGCCCGCAAGGUACUUGGUUCUUAAAAUCGGUUGAUACAUCAGCCUCUAUUAAGAAUGAAGAUUUGUUGUAUGACUAUUUGGAUGAUGUUAUUCAACAAAUUGGGAAGGAGAAUGUGGUUCAAGUUAUAUCCGACAAUGCUUCGAACUACAAGAAUGUCGGGGCAAAACUUAUGGAGAGGAAAGAGAAUGUGUGGUGGACUGCAUGUACGGCUCAUUGCAUUGAUUUGAUGCUAGAAGAUAUUUCUAAGAUACCAUGGUUUGAUGACACGCUCAAACAUGGUAGGUGUAUUUCAAAGUAUCUAUAUGAGCAUCAAUGGAUACUAGCUUUGAUGAGAAAGUAUACCAACAAUUCGGAAAUUCUUCGUCCGGCGAUCACUAAGUUAGCCACUUAUUUCCUUACACUACAAAGCUUACAAAAGCAAAAAGAAAAUCUUGUUGCUUUGUUUACCUCUAAAGAAUGGUUAGAAAUUAUCUAUGCAAGAUCCCAUGAAGCAAAGUUGGCUAAGCAUCAUGUGUUACAUGAUCGUAAGUUUUGGGUUCGAGUUUCCUUUUGCAUUAAGGGUGUUCUUCCUCUUGUUUGUGUUUUGAGAGAGGUUGAUUCGGAUGAGAGACCCCCCAUGGGUUUUAUAUAUGAGUUGAUGGAUGCCGCAAAAGAGAAAAUUGCAAGCAAUCUUAACAAAGUGGAGAAAAAAUAUGUCUAUUUGGAGAAAGAUAGAUUGUAGAUGGAAUGAUCAACUUCAUCAACCACUAUAUGCGGCGGGUUAUUACUUAAACCCACAAUUUCAAUUCGAUGAUAAUUUCUCAAAUACUGAUGAAGUGUGAAAUGGGUUGUUUGCUUGCAUGGAUGGGAUGCUUGGGAAAGGGAAAGAACGUGAAGAGGCAGAUGUUCAAUUGGUUUAAUAUAAUGAUAGGCGUGGUCCAUUUGCGGAUUCUAUAGCUAUGCAAACUAGGAAAAAGUGAACACUAAGUAAGAUUUAAUUAGUCAAUUGUUAAUAUCUUUUUAUCAUUAACCCUUAAAUUGCUUACCUUACUAAUAUUUUUUUUAGCGGCUUGGUGGGAGCGUUUUGGGCAUAAAACACCCGAGUUAAUGAAGUUUGCUAUUCGAGUUCUAAGCCUUACUUGUAAUGCGUCAAGAUGUGAAAGGAAUUAGAGCACAUUUUCAAUGGUAAGUAAAUAUAUUAUUAGUAUCUUAAGUGUCAUUUUUGCUUAAGAUGAUUAGACUUGAAUAAUAGAAUUGAUUUAUUUGUAGAUUCAUACAAAAAGAAGGAAUAGGCUUGAACACAAAAGGCUUAAUGCUUUAGCCUAUGUCAAGUACAAUUUGGCUUUACAACAGAGAAGUAAGAAAAUGAGGGAGAAGUAUGAUCCUAUUGUUGUGGAAGAAAUUGCCUCUUAUGAUGAAUGGAUAACGGAGAUAGAAGAUCUUGUUCUUCCCGAAGAUCUUACAUGGCUUGAGGAUGAGUUAUUGUAUAAUGUUGAGGUCGUAAGGAAUGUGCCACCCCCGGUUUAUGAAAGUGGCUCAUACAUUCAAGAGCCUAGAGUCUUCUCCUCUUCCUCCUCCUCGUGAGCCUACUCAACCUCAAGGUCCUAUUACAUACAAAAGAAAACGGGGUAAUGAAGCAUCCUCAAGUCGAAGAAAUGUGGAGUAUGAUUUGGAAGAUUCUUUUGAUGAAUUGAUGACAUAACCAACAAGUUCAACUAGAGUUGGCAAUGAAGAGGAUGAUGUUGCCUUUUAUUUAGAUGAAGAGGAUUUAGAUGAAUGAUUGAUAUCUUUGUUUGUAUUUUGAUUUAUAUGAAGAGGAUUUGGAUGAGUGAUUGUUUUAUUUGUUUGUAUUACCUUUUGAAUGAUGAAUUUGGAUGAUAUUACCUUUGAAUGAUGAAUGUAGAUGAUAUUAUCUUUUGAAUGACUAUGAAUUUGAAUGAAAAAUUGAGAAUGGAUGUUUAUUUUACAUAGUAUUAUUUUUUAUACAAUGAUUGGAACACAUCACCAUAUUCCCUACUGUUGCAUGAAACCAACCUUUACAAGGAUAAAACAAAAUACCAUAAAGGAUAGACUUGUAGCUGCCUAAUAUUCCAAUGUCCUAACACAAAGAAAAUUAAAUCCCUAGAAACUGAAUUGGGAAAAAGAAGAAGUUGGAAUUGGACAUGCUGCUGGAUCCUGGCGAACUCGGCGGGGGAUAUGCGACUUAUCAGCUCCUAAGCGAGUCUCAUCAACCCGGGAUCGAUCAUAUUCAUUCCAAUAAACAUCUUAAUCCCGCUUUCCUAACAAUCAAUUCGGUUGAUUAGGAUUUUGGAUUUUGGGGGAAUUGUUGUGAUUUAUAGUAGGAGGAAGAGAACAAAAUAAAGGUGUUGAAGGAAGAAGGUCAGCCACCUAACCUGAAUUGAUAAGUCUUCUUCUAUUCUUUCUUUCUUUCUUUCUUUCUUUGUCUCUUGAAUUGAAGGAGGUCACAAUUUCGUCAAUUGUCUUGAUGAUUGUCCACCAUUAGGAUAUUUAAAAAAGUAAUUUGAUGCAAUUUUAGCCGAGGGUUGUCCCUUAAAUUGAUUAAGGCUUCUUGUGGUUAAUAUGUGUAACUUCUUAGGAUGGACGACACAUCUUAAAGGUUGUAUGGUUUUUUAAAAGGUUUUCACAAAACUUAAUGAGUUUUGCAUGUUAACAUUUGAUCUGAACAUCACGGAUGAGUUGCAUGUUAGAUAUACGUUUUAUAUUGCAGGUUCCAAAUACGAUAUACAUUAGGAAAACAUAACCUUCAAUAUAAAACGUAUAUCUAACAUGCAACCCAUCUGUGGUGUCCAGAUCAAAUGUUAACAUGCAAGACUCAUUAAGUUUUGUGAAAACCUUUUGAAAAACCAUACAACCCUUAAAAUGUGUCGUCCAUCCUAAGAAAUUACACAUAUUAACCACAAGAAGCCUUAAUCAAUUUCAGGGACAACCCUCGGCUAAAAUUGCAUCAAAUUACUUUUCUAAAUAUCCUAAUGGUGGACAAUCAUAAGUAAUUAAAAGAACUACGUAUGAUUGUUAAGAUGAUGGUGGAAUCCUAGUAGUUUAAUAGAUUUUCAAACUAUUUUCUUUUGUUUUCUUUACUUUCCCAAUUUAUUUAAUUGUUUUUAAUUAAAUUCGUUUUUAAUAUUUUAGGUCAUUAAAUCAACGUUUUUUUAAUUUUGUUUUCAAAUAAUUAAUUAAGAUUUGUUUUAUCAUAAAUUAUUCAUUCAAUCCCUGUGGAAAACGUCCUUACUUGAGCUGUUAUACUAUGAUAUGCUUGUACUCUUGCAAGUAUUUUUAAGUGUUUAUAUCCCUCCCUUCGCAGGUCGUAAAAAUCCCCAUCAAGAGUUUAUGUCAAUUUGGAUGGAAUUUAUGAAAAACUAACGGUAAGGGAGAAAUUAGCCAAAAAAAAAGUUUAAAUCCUUAAUUUUCCAAGUAAAAAGUUUAAGAGGAAAUCGAAAACUAAGUGAAAAUUGAGGGGGAAAUUGGCAGUAUACUCUUACAUUUCUCGCCUUAACUGCUUAUUGGUUGUUGGUGCUUUGCAGCAUCAUCUCUCACUUUACAAAAGGUUUGGGACUAAGAAUCUUGGAAAAUACUUUGUUGUAUUUAAAAGUUUACAUAACACGACUACAUUACUAACGUGAUUGCGUUCAUGCCACAUGAAAUAAAAAUUUAUAUAUGACAUUGCAUAUUUGAUACAAAUGAAUUUACUAUUUGUAAAAUUGGCAUAUAACUAAUUAUUAUUGUUAUUUUAUAGGAAGCUUUAAUGAAAAAGGCUUUUUCAAACUUUUUAUUAACCAAAAACCAUUUACUAACUUUAUUUAAUAAACAAGACUUAAACUUUAAUGAAAAAAGACAAAAACGAGAAAGAACAACCAAAACAAGGAAGCCUCACGUGCAAAAUAAGAAAUUCAUUUUCCAUCCAUGCCCCUGCCUUCCGUCAGCCCACUUUUGUUAGAAUUAAACUUUCAUUUAUUUACAAAUAUGACAUUGCCUCAUUUAUUUAUAAAUAUGCCAUUUUCUAGAGGAUUCGUCAAAAAAAAAAAAAAAACUUUUGUCAGUCGAUACCAAUUAACCCCCAACAUAAUUAAUUAUCUCAAAUUCCUCGCCUCACCUCCCAUCAAAUAAAUUUAAAAAAAAAAUAAAUUCCACAAAUCACUACAAAAUAAUGAACUUUAGAUUCGAAAAUGACAUAAUUUCACUGAGUGUAUCACAUUGCACAUUCACUUGUAUAAUCCAAACUUCUACACAAAUCACUACAAAAUAAUGAAGGUUAACGGAAGAUUUCUUGGAUCAGUGAAACUUAAAGGGCGAGACUCACAUCAACGUUUAUGAUUAUGUUUUUUUUUUUUGGAAACUAGUUUAUGAUUAUGUUUGGUCUGAAUUAUGUUUGGAAGUCUCAUGCAAUUGCCUUCGAUCUAUCUCAUUAUAAAAUUGAACUCGUGUCUCUGUGUGUGUGUGUAUAGUGUUCCGUUUGAUAAAUAGUCAGUGUUUAGUUUACGAAACGGUGAUAGUACUAGUGUUCGUUUGAUAAAUAGUCAGUGUUUAGUUUUCGAAAUAGUGACAGUACUUGUAUUCAGUUUAAGAAAUAGUGAUAGUACUAAUGUUCGGUUUAAGAUAUAGUCAGUGUUUAAUUUAAGAAAUAGUGUUCAUUUUAAGAAGUAGUCAAUGUUCAGUUAAGAAAUAGUGAUAGUACUAGUGUUCUGUUUGAGAAAUAAUCAGUGUUUAGUUUACGAAAGAGUGAUAGUACUAGUGUUCUGUUUAAUAAAUAGUCAGUGUUUAGUUUACGAAACAGUGAUAGUACGUCAAUACUUAGUUUAUGAAAUAGUGAUAGUACUAGUGUUCCGUCUAAGAAAUAGUCAGUGUUUAGUUUACGAAAUAGUGAUAGUACGUCAAUACUUAGUUUACGAAAUAGUGAUAGUACUAGUGUUCCGUCUAAGAAAUAGUCAGUGUUUAGUUUACGAAACAUAGUCAGUGUUUAGUUUACGAAACAUAGUCAGUGUUUAGUUUACAAAACAGUGAUAGUACAACAGUGAUAAUACUAGCGUUCCGUUUAAAAAAUAGUUAGUGUUUAGUUUACGAAACAGUGAUAGUACUAGUGUUCAGUUUGAGAAAUAAUCAGUGUUAACGAAACAGUGAUAGUAUUAGUGUUUGUUUGAUAAAUAGUCAAUAUUUAGUUUACGAAACAGUGAUAGUACUAGUGUUCCGUUUAAGAAAUAAUCAGUGUUUAGUUUACGAAACAGUGAUAGUGCUAGUGUUCCGUUUAAGAAAUAGUAAGUAUUUAGUUUACGAAAUAGUGAUAGUACUAGUAUUCGUUUGAUAAAUAGUCAGUGUUUAGUUUACGAAACAGUGAUAGUACUUGUGUUCGUUUGAUAAAUAGUCAAUGUUUAGUUUACAAAACAGUGAUUUCCGUUUAAGAAAUAGUCAGUGUUUAGUUUACGAAACAGUGAUAGUACUAGUGUUCCAUUUAAGAAAUAGUCAGUGUUUAGUUUACAAGAAAUAGUCAGUGUUUAGUUUACGAAAUAGUGAUAGUACUAGUGUUCGUUGAUAAAUAGUAAGUGUUCGUUUAAGAAAAUAAUAGAAUAAUAAUAAUAAUUAAGCAUCUUGAUCUUAAUCAACAAGCAUAUGAUAAUAAUUGAUCAUAUUGUAAGUAGGGUCAACAUAAUCAAGAAAUGACUUUACAAGGACCCUCGUUCCAUUCAACUAUACCUUCACAUUCUUUCCAAGGCAUUUUUUCGCACUGAGCUAAUUUCAAUCCGGCUGAAAGUACUCCAGAUGCUGCUGGAUUCACAACUGCAUCAUAGUGGGUUGUAUCACCUCUAAUCUACUGACACAGUUGAUAAAUUAACUUUCAUGGAGACAAUGUAUUAUUUUAUGAGGAUAAAUAAAAUGCAUACAUUCCUAACCUCGUUCAAAAGUCAACAAAACAAAACUUAAUAACAAAAUAAUUAACCAACUAUAUAUGAUGUUAUUCUUUAUUAUGAAUUUGUAAAUGGAGAAUGUUUGUAGGAAACACUCAAUGCAUCAAUAUAAUGGGAAGCCUAAGCCUUCGGUAUCUACAAAAAUAUGCGGCAAUGCGCAAAUCUUGGUAAUCCGUGAAAUUUCAAGAUUGUGCUUUGGUCUCUUGCAUCCUCCUUAUAUGCUUGUAAACUUUACGAUUGUGUUCAAGAGGUCUAAGGUAAUUAAUUAAAUGGUUAAGAUGAUAUGAUGGGAGUAUCGACGAACCUAAUUCGGAGUGCGUGAGGCUGCAUCUUGGGUUGUUGAGCACUCUAAAUCUAUAUGCAUUGAUAUUGUACAAUUAUCCUGACCAUUAGAUUAUGCAAGCUAGAAAAUAAAUCAAUUCGUUUGAGCUGAUUGCUAAUGCAUUAGAAAAAUUAGAACUAGAUUACUAAAUCAUCGCAUGUAUCACUGAGAGAACAGUUUGUUGAGCCGUUUCAAGUUGUUCUUCUAAGAUUUAUCCUACAACUCUGAGCAUUCAUCAGUUUGACUUUACACAAAAUGUAGAUUUCAUUAAACAACAGAUUACAAAAAUAUCACAAUAGAAAUUUUCGAAAAAAUUAUCCAAGUAACCAUUCUAAACUAAACUUACACAAGCAUGCUAGUGAAUGUUGUGAACUGAAGAGCAUUUGGGAAAGAAUGUGAAUUUUAUAGGUAGAGUACAUGUAUACAUCAACUCUCAUCGAUUGGAAAUCCAUUUCAAACCCAUAUAGGUAGAGUACAUGUAUACAUCAUGUUGCAAUGUUUAGUCAAUCGAAAUUCGCAAAUCCAUUUCAAAUCCAUAGAACAAUUAGUCACAGUAACCUCAAUAAAUCACAGGUUACAAAACAAAAUUACACCAAACGAACAAUCACAAACAUGAGAUCAAAUCCUAAUUUUGCAAUUCCACCAAACAUUGAAACCCUAAAAUACACAAUUUUAUACACAUCAAACCCUAAAAUAGAAGACCAAAUGCUAAUUCGUAAAUUCCACAAAACACUAAAACCCUAAACACAAAUCAUACAUCACAUAAAUUAGGGAAUCCACAAUUUUAUACAUGUUUGUACGUUCGUCUUCUCGAUGAUGAACUCGAUGGAGAAAAUGUUCGUAAGCUUGGCGUCGUAGUCAUUGCAUCCACCCAUGGUCUUCUUCACCGUGUCAUAGUAAUUGCUACUAGUCAGAAGGUGCUCGAAGUUCAACUCUAGGACGUAGACCCUCUCCUCCUACUGAAUCUCGAUAGGAACUCUAGCAACGUUGUUGUAGACGCUGAUACAGUUCUCCUUGACGUCAAUGGACUGAGACAGCGAGGAGAUGAGUGAGAGUAGUACCUAAUGAUGUUUGAGAGCGAGUGUGAUGACAAAUGUGCUGACGGUUGGGGCAACGGAGCACGGAAGAUGAGGAUUUAGACGUGGUUCUUCUUCCUUUCCCUUCACUUCUCUUUCUCUCUCAGAUUCAGAUGAAAAUGAGUGGCACGGCUCAAAUGAAAUAGCAAGACACCAAAGAUUGGAAGAUUGAAUUGAGGUCAGUGGAGCCAAGCUUUUCGUCGGUUGGGAUUUCGGGCCAGGGCUGGUUUGAGGUAGCAGUGGUGGCGAAGAUCGUCGUCGUUGUGUCAUGGAGAGAGGGAGACAGCAGAGAGAGAUCCGGAAGAGAUAUCAAACGGACAAGAGACUUGCCAUUAGGGGUAAAAUUGAAAAUUAAUUGUUUGGGCCAUCUUAAUAGGACUAGUUUAGUGUUGGGCUUUGUCCUAACCAUUAAAUAAAGUUGUUACAUAGUUUUUGGUUAAGAUUCAAAGUUUUCAAG